RNAcentral lists this long non-coding RNA (52823 nucleotides) under Triticum aestivum (bread wheat). Its description in RNAcentral is "long non-coding RNA (TAES_LNC004251)". The record is from RNAcentral. Lineage: Eukaryota; Viridiplantae; Streptophyta; Magnoliopsida; Poales; Poaceae.
CUCUCCCUCCUCGACCCCUAGCUCCUCUACCGCCAUCGCCACCCCGACCUCUGCCAAAACUAUCUCCUCUACCUCCACCACCAUACGGUUGAGCCGCUGGCAUCUCCGGCUCCCAUAGCAGUCAAUCACCCCAUUCAAAAGAGCUUGGGUCGUGUAUGCCGGCUCCACAUUCAUCAGCCAAGUGACCCAUCCGGCCACACGCAAAGCAAAAGUCUGGAAGCUUCUCAUAGAAAACACUGAAUUUUUUGUGCUCCUUCAAGGUGAUUGGAAACAAACCUGACUAGUGGCUCAUAAACAUCAACAAAUACCCUGGCUCGUAGUGUACUCGCCGGGUUUAUCCUUCCCUCAUUCACCACAACUGUAAAAGGAGGAUCUCCCACCUUUGCAGCUACCUUCUCCGCCAGCUCCCUUCUCCUUGUCAGGCCAUCAGGCAAGCCCUUGACUCGAGCCCACAGCGGGAUCUUGUUUAGUCUAUAACCAUUAACAUCAGAGAAACCGUCAUACUCCUGCAGCACCACGGGCGCCCGCCGGAACAGCCACGGCCCUCCCUCCAUGAUCUUCCUCCAGUCUCCCAAACAGUGGCAUUGCACAAGAAAUAGAUUGGGUCCCUUGAUGUUGAAGGUGACACCUGCGCCGCCGACCAGGCAUUCGCAUUUGCGUCAAUAGCGCCGCAUGGCUAAACGGUUUUGUCGUAUGAACACGGAACAACGCUAACCAGCGAACAUCCUUGAUCAAGUCUUCCACCUCCUCCGAGAAAUCCAGAUCCUCCUCUUCCUUCCCAUGUAGCUUCAUCCCGGCGAACUAAUCUUCAAGAUCUGGCCCCGGUCCAAAGUACGCGCCAUGCUCAUUCUCCCCUCCGUCAGAUGCGUUCCUCCUUGCCUGCGAGCUGUUCAUCCCCCCAUCAUCCGCCAUGGAAUUAUCUUGGCUUAUCUCUCCACUCAAAACCCCAGGUACUUCAGAUCCGAUCGGCCCCCUGCACCUAACCCUACUUCCGCCGCCAUCGCUUCCUCCUGACCCCCUGGCUCCUGUCGCGUUGGAUCCGCCAUGCAAGCGAACGUGCACGGCGGGGAUGUGGUAGAUCUCACCGGCAGCCGGAGUGAUCCGGCGAUCGGCGAGGUUUUACGUGGACUCUAGUGCAAGAUCGCCAAAGGAAAGGUGGAACCCUAAAAAACUAGGGGAAAACCGCAGUGGGAGCGUACAGAAAAGAUGAGGAUUUGAGGGAUGGUAGGGUUUAUAUAGUUACAAAACGAAUACAAACGUGUCCUAAAUCUGCAAGCCCAGGCAUGAAAGGAAGCCCAUAACCAAAAUAACUCGGCCUCCUAGAGGCCCAAUAAAAGAAAAACCCCCACCCAACCUCACCGGAGUCGGCUGCCACUGCCACCAUUUCUCUCUCACCGUCUGCCUCCUUCCUCGCGUGCGUGCGGUCCCCGGUCCCUGUACGUCCUGCCCCACCACUCCGGCGGCGGCGGCGCCGGUGGCGUUGCACCAUCCUGGUAACCCCACCCCUUCUUCUAUCUCUCUCCCUNNNNNNNNNNNNNNNNNNNNNNNNNNNNNNNNNNNNNNNNNNNNNNNNNNNNNNNNNNNNNNNNNNNNNNNNNNNNNNNNNNNNNNNNNNNNNNNNNNNNNNNNNNNNNNNNNNNNNNNNNNNNNNNNNNNNNNNNNNNNNNNNNNNNNNNNNNNNNNNNNNNNNNNNNNNNNNNNNNNNNNNNNNNNNNNNNNNNNNNNNNNNNNNNNNNNNNNNNNNNNNNNNNNNNNNNNNNNNNNNNNNNNNNNNNNNNNNNNNNNNNNNNNNNNNCUACUGUAGAUAGGGUCCGUGUCGUGCUGAAAAUUCCAGCACCCACCCCACAUUAGGCUUCUUUGCGGGAGGCACGGGGCUCGGAACCGACGCGCCUCAUCUCAUCUUGGCGCGUGCUAGCGUUUGAUUUCCCUUCUGUUGCGAAAUUUCCCUUGUUUUUAAGCCGCUGCGUCAGUUCAUCCGAUUAGUACGGGUGUCUGAAUGGAACCUAGAUGCAUUAGUUUGUUUCGGAAGCGUGGGUUCCCUUUUCCUUACAAUAUUACCCCCUCUUUUACAAAAUUACAAAAUUCUUGAUUUCUCACUGCCUUGUGUCAUUGUGUGGAAGUCCAUCCUUCCUUGAUCAGGGGCGCCUUCUGCACAUCUUGGAUUGACUAGUUAGUUUUGUGCAAUGCAGGGAUAGAACUACACUUGAGAGCCUAUCCUAAUGUCACUGCUUAUCUUUUAUGCCCUAAUCAGCAAGUCCUCAUCUUCCCAUGGAUAAAGCUAUUCGUAUAUUCAUGCUGCCACUAGUGCCGGUAAUUAUUAGUGAUUCAGAUGACUCAUCAUGAAAGCUGAUGCUGUUGAUCUGGUUCUCUUACAAUUAUAUGAUGAAAUGUGGGUGCAAUUUUGAAUUGCUUGUUAUCAAUACCACGAGUCGCCUGCAUGGACAAGGUGAAUGAUAUGUGGGUGCAUAGUUAUGAUUAGUGGUGACAUGUUUUCAGGUGCCACGAGCAAUGGUGAGGAGCCGCUCUCCCAAGGGCGGAGAUGACGGCAGGCGACGAAGCACUCCUAGGAGAAGUUCUGAUGAGCAAGGAGGAAGGAAGGAAAAAGGUCCUAUAAGCCUCUUGGUGCGUAACAUCCCUCAUAACUGCAGGUACAGAAUUUCGAACCCCCCCCGCCUGCUAUUUAUACUGGGCCAUGUUUCAUGUUUGUGGUUUCUAACUUGCUCGUCCUCAUGAUUUUCACAAUUUCCUGCAGAUAUGAAGAUCUUCGAGUUCCUUUUGCAAAGUUUGGUCCUGUUCGGGAUAUUUACAUGCCAAAAGAUUACUACAGUGGGUAAGUGUUACCGAAGCGCCAACUGAUUUUCUCUCAUUAGACAUUUAGGCAUGUUCGACCACUGAAGAUCCAGCAGCUUUUCUCUUACUGAUGUGCUUGAAGAGUUAGAAGAGCAACCUUUUGGGGUGCUUUUCUUCUGCUCAUAUGGAAAAAUGAUUGUUAAUGUCUGCAUGGCCCCAAACUCUGAGUCCUUACAUACUGCAUGGAGAAGCUGACCAGUGACAUAUCAAUUUUGCAUAAAAGCCCCACGUGUACCCUAUUUCCUCCUUUUGUUUGUAUUUGUUGCAAAAUCCAUAAAUAUUGCAGAAUAGAUUUAUGAUAAAUGUAUAAGCCUAGUAACUCAUUGAAGUCUCAAACUUAAUAAUUUUAACAACCUAUAGAGUACGGAGGAUAUAGGUACUUUAUCUUUUGCUAUUUAUGUGUUCUCUUCUGGUGUGAAUCACUCUUUGGAAUGAUUUCCAGGAUGUCUUGAAGUACAUGUGAUUAGAUAGAGUCUUGUGCGAGAAGUUCUUCUAGGAAGACAAGAUUCGGUUUGUUGGCAAAAUUGAUUUUCUGAAGAGAUGAUGGUUUUACUGGACCUUCCAUGUGAAAGUUAUAGCUGUGAGAAGUUGGUUUCAAGUACUUUGAUGAUUUUUCAAACAUUUGAGGAAUUUGAAGUGAAUCGUUUUUAUGAAGAUGUGAUUAUACAACAAAUUUGGCUACUAGAAUAGCAUGGGCUCUCAACUGGUUUUUGGGAAGCUCGCUACUAUUUUGGUGGAAAUGCUAGUAAGUUAUUGGCUGUGUUUUGUGAAGAAUCGUACAGGGUUAGCUUAUACGAAACUGUGGUGGUAACUCGUCGGGCACAUACUACCUUUUAUCAAUAUGUGUUUUUAAUUUGUAUAGCAUGGUCUGAAUAUUAUUUAUCUAACAUUUUAUAAUUAUCAUAUUAACAUAUGUGCUGUGCAGGGAGCCAAAAGGGUUUGCUUUUAUUGAGUUUUUUGACUCCCAUGAUGCUUCUGAGGCGCAAUAUCACAUGAACCAUAAGUUGUUUUGCGGACGUGAGAUUAAAGUUGAGCCUGCCACAGAUAAACGGAAAAGGCCCGAAGACAUGCGUAGACGAACUGGAGUAAGGUAGGCCAUACCAAUCACUAUGUUGGAAGUUUCUUCUGUUUCAUUGUUUUCUUUUUUGUUGAGAAAAUUUGUAUGUUUUAUUUUUGUUAACUUGUGUUCCUGCACUGCAGAGUUCAUUCUGGUUCUAAAGGGCACGAUCUUUCUCGCCAUGGUAAUCUGUUUUAUUUUCAUCUGCUAUACUUGUGUGUCCUUUUCAUCAUGAUGCUUUGCCGAAUUCUGGGGAGUUUAGGUGAUCUUCUUUUACUGAUAGAAACUGUAAGCUCCCCACUUUAUCUUUUGAUGUUAGAUAAACUCUAAAGUAAAUAUGAACACAAAAAGGUAGAGUCAUGGUUCAUUUAGUUGUAUGCCUACAAAAGACCCAAAGUGAUCUGACUCUUCCCGGAACCUGCGCAAGCGGGAGCUACACGCACAAGGCUGCCCUGGUAUAUAUAUUGCAAUUCCUUUUCAUUGGUUCUAUCUUCACCGGACAGUAGUUUUCCUGCCAGGGCCACGCCUGCUGGUAUCUGGCAGAAAAAUCUCCUUUUCAAAAUUAAUAUCGUAUUAGAAUGAGUCUAUACCAUGUGCUACAAAUUGCAAUAUUGAUAAAUUGCUAUCUUCCUUGAAGGACGGUCUCGUUCUCGUUCACACUCCCGUUCUCCUCGCCAAGGUGGUCGUGAUAGAUCACGGUAUUUCAGCGAAUCUUGCCAAAUGAGUGCCUCACCAUGAAGAAGUGUGCGAAAUAUUUGGUUUAUUAUUAAUAAGUGAUCUCACCUACACUGUAGGUCACAUUCUCCUGCCCCAAGAAGGCAUGGUGACUACUCUGCUUCACCAAAGAGAAAGGAAGAGUGCCAGGCAAAAUCAUCAGGACAAUCAAAAGAACAUGACAACGAUAAGAAGCUGGGAUCCUGUACUCCUGGUGGUAGAAGUGAACGUCAUGACACUGAUAAUGAUUCCAAUGAGUAAGUUCUGUCCCUUCACUGCUGCUAAAUUUUAAUCAAGACAAGUAGACAACCAUGAGGACACCCUGAGGAGGCCAGUCCUUGAGCGCGUGUGGACUGGACACAUACCUUUAGCCAACCGAGUGCUGCUUGUUUCUCGGCGUUUGUACCUCUGUAACAGUACUGUAUAUGGCCAGGAGGCGGGCAACACCUAACUAUUCUGCUGCACCAAAGAGAACGGAAGCGUGCCAGACAAAAUCACCAAGGCAGGCAAAUGAACAUGAUGAGGAUAAGAAGCAUAUAUCUUUUAGUCCUGAUAGAAACAACCACCGUGAUGCUGACAAUGGCCACAAUGAGUAGGUUCUGACAUCCUGUUUCUACUGUGCUGCUAAAUGCAGCUUGUGUAAUCCAGUUAUACUAUUCUAGAACUAAUGUUGUCCAUGCUCUCCUUCCAAGGCGAGAUGACUACUCUACUUCAUCAAAGAGAAAGGGAGAACGCUUGUCAAAAUCACUAAGAUUGUCCAAAGAACAUGAUGAGGAUAAGAAGCGGAGAUCCUAUAGUCGUGAUGAUCGAAGUGACUGCCGUGAUGCUGAUAAUAGUUUCAAAGAGUAAGUUCUCUUCUUUCACUGCUACUAAAUGUGACUGCGAAAUAUCUAGUUAGCUAAUAUGGAACUAAUACAUGUAUGUAGUUACGUCAUCUUAUCUAAAGGUUAUUUUACUGCACAAUUUGAGUACAGCAUCAAUCUUGUGUGUACAAUAGCUAAUCAUCUGUGUACGACAAUAGAUUGUUUGUGAUGUAAGCCUCGGCAUACGCAAACUUAAUUUAUUCUCGACCAAUAGUGUAUUGCGGUCUAUUGAAUCUGUACUACUUGCAUUUCAUGUAUGAUAUUUUGGCCUUGUCGCAUACCCAUAGGCCAUGACAUAUACCACUAGAUCUGUCAAAAUACAUGAAGUUUUUACUGUGUCUUUCUUGAGAUCUGUUACAUCGGAAGUACUUAUAUCUUGAUAGGGCUACAUAUCCUACUAGAAACAUGUUACUACCGUGUGAGUAUACAUUAUUCGCUAUAGUGACACUGAUAUCAUGCCCCAGAACCUUCUUUUUAGAGUUUAGUAAUUAUCUCCAGGACAUAGUUGCACAGUUCAUUGCCAUCAGCAUAUGUAAUCUAUUGGUGAGAAAAAUUAUCGCAUUUAGCUAUUGUUUUGACAUGGUUGUGGUUGCAUCCAUGCUUUUUUAUUACCAUUGUGCUGCUCGCUGUUUGUAUUACUGAACAGUGUUCUAUUUAGGAUUGGUUACAUGAUCUGUGUGCACAGUUCAGAUUUAUUUGUAUGGUUGUCAUAUGAAUAAAUGGUUAAUUGCAUUCCUUUUGUACAUAUCCGCCAUUGUAGUAACAAUGUGUGUGUUGACAGGAGCCGGGCAACAACUGAUGCUAAGAGAUCCUGUCCCCGCCAGAGGUCACCCAGACCAUCCGCUGGAUCACACUCAAGAAGGCGAGAUGCCUACUCUGCUUCCCCAAAGGGAAAAGAAGAGCGUCGGGAACAAUCACCAAGACAGUCAAAAGUACAUGAUAAACAUAGGAAGCGGAGAUCCAAUACUCCUGAUGAUAGAAAUGACUGUCAUGGUGCUGAUCAUAGUCACAACGAGUAAGUUUUGUUUCUAAACUGCUACUAAAAGUUACUGGCAUGAUCUAGUUAUGCUAUACAGAACUUAUGUUCAUACUCCCCUGACCUAAGAAUGCAAGGUGACUGCUCUACUUCACCAAAGAUUAAGGAAGAGCGCCAGGCAAAAUCAUCAAGAGAGUCAGAAGAAUAUAACAAGGAUACAAAGGGGAGAUCCUGUGCCCCUCAUGAUAGAAAUGACCACCAUGAUGCAGUUAAUGGUUCCAGAGAGUAAGUUCUCUUCCUUGAUUGCUGCUAAAUGGCAUGAUCUAGUUGUGAUAAUCCAGGACUAAUGGACUAAUGGUGUUACACUUAUUGGUGUCUUGAACUUCAUCCCUUUAACCCCUUGCUUCAGUAUAUCGGUUACAGCCUGCAAUAAAUUGAUAGUUGUUAGUUAUCCUUUUUGGAUUAUUUUUUACCUGUACAGCACCAAUCAUGUGUGUGCAAUAGCUGAUCCUCUGUGUUGGAUAACAUAUAGUUUGUGAUCAAACCUGGGCGUACAGACUUAAUUUUUUUUCUCGCCCAGGAGUGUAUUAUGGUCUACUGGACCUAUAUUAAUUGAAUUCUAUGGGUGAUCUAUUUAGCCUUCUCGCGUAGCCAUAACCUGCACCACUAUAUUGUCUGCCAAAAUAUAUGAAAAUGGUCUACUCUUCCUUUCACAAACAUUAUCAUAUCGAAAGUUCUUCCUUUCCUCUAGGGCUACAUAUCCUUCUCGAUGCAUGUUAAUUCUGAGUGAGUACACCAUUCGCCAGAACCUUCAGAGUUCAGUACUUUUUUCCAGAACGUGUGUAGUUGUGUACAGUUCACUGGCAUCAGCUUUCCCAGAGCUGGCAUUAAGUUAACAAAAGUAUUAUAACACUGCGCAGAGGACCACAAAGAACAAAGAAAUUACAAGCAAGUCCUUCCGUUUUACAUUCAGGACCCCAAGAGAGAACACAAAAACACAAUCGAUUCCUGAAUUGUCCGGUGAUCUCGCCGGAGAUGCCUUGGCCACAGCCUUGUCAGCGUAGGGCAAGGAAAAUAGGGCCUCUCUUCUGGAGGUUGAAGAAGGGGAGGUCGGAGUUUGCUGGCAAAUCUACAUGAAGCCAGCGUUGCACCCAAGUCGCCCAAAUUGCUCGUCGGAGGCAAAUCUUUGUUUGAUCUGAAGCUCCGGCGGCGGAGGUCGGCGCAGAGGAAGAUGAGAAAGCUCCGAUGCCAGCCGAUAACCCCUCGGCAUGCCGGCUCUGCAAUGUCCCGAGCCAGAUCCGCCAUCCUCUCCCCUAACGCCACAGCAGCGGCUAAGAGAGCAUGUCAGAGCAGCUCGAAAAACCUCUAGAUCCGUCGUCCACAUGAGUUUAUUUUCAAAGCCGUCGCUGGAUCCACCCCUUUCAGCUGCCGUCCACCAUGGAUGGAAACUAGAUGUAGAGGCCUCCACCGGUCGCCGCUCAGGGGCGCCGAUGCCAAGCUUCUCAACGGCAUGUAGCCAAACGCUAUCAAGGCAAACCACGAUGACCUAGAUCUACCCCGACAAUACAGAGCAGCGACACAUCUCCCUUCCCAUGCCCACUCUGGACGGUGGAGCCGCUGGAGGAGAAGGGGAGAGGAGCCGGGCUAGGGCAGGCGACUCUCAAGGAGACGAGGAGGAGAGAGAAGGGAAGGAAGAGAAUGAGAGCCCCUUGGCAUCAGCUUAUACAAUGCAGUAUAAUCUUUUGGCUAGAAAAGUCCUGAUUUCACCUUAGUUCUGACUUCUGACAGGAUUGUGGUUGCACCUUUGGUUUUUUGCACCAUCGUACUGCUCAUUGUUUAGGAUUAUUUACGUGAGGUGUGUGCAUUAUUUCUAUGUGGUCAUAUACGAGUAAAUGGUUUACAUUCCUUUUCUUUAUGUUUGUAUCUUUAUAGUAGCAAUUGCAUGUCAACAGGAAGCCGGUAACACCUGACGAUGAGGGGUCCCAUGCCUGCCGGAGGUCACCCAGACCAUCUUCUGGAUCACGCUCAAGAAAGCGAGAUGACUGUUCUGCUUCCCCAAAGAAAAAGGAAGAGAGCUGGGCAAAGUCACCAAAGCAGUCCAUUGAAUACAAGGAUGAAAAGAGGAGGUCAUGUACUGCUGAUGAUAUAAAUGGCCGACAUCAUGCUGUUAAUUGUUACAAGAAGUAAGCUGUGUUCCUGCUGCUAAAUGUUAUUGACGUAAUCUAGUUAUGCUUUAGAGAAUUGAUGUUUUUCAAUCUUCAUAUUCUGCUGCCCCAAGAAAGCGAGAUGGCUACUCUGCUUCCCCAAAGAUAAAGGAGGAGUGCAGGGCGGAAUCACCACGACCGACAAAAGAACGUGAGGAUAAUGGUGGAAUAGACCGUACUGAUGCUGACAAUGGCUACAAUGAGUAAGUUCAGUUCCUUCGCUGCUGCUAAAUUUGACUGGGGUAAUCUGCUAUUCCCAGAACUUCUGUUGUUAUACUUAUUGGGAUGUCAAACUUCAUCUUCUUAAUCCUUAGCGGUGUCUACCAGACACAGCUCACACGUCACAAUAUUACUUAUGUAGAUGUUUUCUACAGCACAUCCUGUAUAACAGUCACAGUUGACAGUAGAUUGAAGAUAUCCUACUAAACUCAGCUUCAUUCUGAGUAUUGGGAAGUACAUAUAUGCUAUUCUGACAUUGUUAUGAUGCACCAGAACCUUCUUGGGGAGUUGAGUAAUUUACUGGCAUCAGAGUAUAUAGUCUGCCGGGGAGAAACUUGCUGUUUUAACUAGAGUAAAGGUUGUUGCAUAUAUGAUUUUCAUUCUAAUGUCAUCGUACCGCUUGCUGUUUGUUUUGCUAAAUUGUGUUCUGUUUAGUAUUGAUAGACAUAUUUUAUUGCAUGCAUUGUUUGCACAGCUUUGAUUUAUUUCCAUGUUGAUCAUAUGUUAAUGUUAGUACUUUUUGGUCAUUUACACCUCUGUAAUAACGGUGUAUGUUGUUCACAGGAGGCGUGCAGGACCUGACUCUGCUUCACAGAAGAGAAUGGAAAAGCCUCCCCAAGCAAAAUCACAAAGCCAGUCGAAAGAAUAUGAUAACGGUAAGAACAGAUCCUAUACCCAUGAUGAUGGAAAGGAGUGCCGCGAUGCUGAUAAUGUUUCCAAAGAGUAAGCUCUGUUCCUUCAUGCUGCUAAAUGUGGCGGUAUAAUCUUGUUAUGCUAUCAAGAACUAAUAGUUUUUAUACUCUACUAUCUCAAAAAGGCGAAAGGACUACUCAGCUGCUGGAAAGAGAAAGGAAGAGCGCCAGGCAAGUUUACCAAGACAAUCAAAGGAACAUGAUGAACAUAAGAAGAGGGGAUCCUAUACUCGUGAUGAUAGAAAUGACCUCCGUGAUGCUGAUAAUGGUUCCAAAGAGUAAGCUCUGUUCCUUCAUGCUGCUAAAUGUGAUGGGUGUAAUCUUGUUAUGCUAUCCAGAACUAUUAGUUUUUAUACUCUAUACUGUCCCAAGAAGGCGAAAGGACUACUCAGCUUCUGGAAAGAGAAAGGAAGAGCGCCAGGCAAGUUUACCAAGACAAUCAAAGGAACAUGAGGAGCAUAAGAAGAGGGGAUGCUAUACUCGUGAUGAUAGAAAUGACCUCUGUGAUGCUGAUAAUGGUUCCAAAGAGUAAGCUCUGUUCCUUCAUGCUGCUAAAUGUGGCGGGUGUAAACUUGUUAUGCUAUCCAGAACUAAUAGUUUUUAUACUCUACUGUCACAAGAAGGCGAAAGGACUACUCAGCUGCUGGAAAGAGAAAGGAAGAGCGCCAGGCAAGUUUACCAAGACAAUCAAAGGAACAUGAUGAGCAUAAGAAGAGGGGAUCCUAUACUCCUGAUGAUAGAGAUGACCCCCGUGAUGCUGAUAAUGGUUCCAAAGAGUAAGUUAUGUUGCUUCACUGCUGCUAAAAUCUGAUUAGUGUAAUCUUACUUCUUUUAGCAUGUGACAGGUGUAAUCUUGUUAUGGUAAUGCCAGAACUAAUGUUUUUUAUACCUCACCUUCCUAAGAAGGCGAAAUGAUUACUCAGCUUCCCGAAAGAGAAUGGAGGACUACAGAGCAAAAUCAUCAAGACAAUCAAACGAACAUGAUGAUGAUAAGAAAAGGGGAUCGUAUACUCCCGAUGAUAGAAGCCACCGCUCCGAUGCUGAUAAUCGUUCGAGAGAGUAAGCCAUGUUCCUUCACUGCUGCUCAAUGUGAGUGUAAUCUUGCUACGCUAUUCCAGUACUAAUGUUGUUCAUACUCCAUCUGUCAAGAAGGCGAGGUGACUUCUCAGCUUCCGGACAGAGAAAGGAAGAGUACCUGGGAAAAUCACCAAGACAGUUAAAGGAACAUGGUGACAAUAAGAAGAGGGGGUCAUAUACGCCUGCUGAUAGAAAUGACCUCCGUGAUGUUGAUAAUGGUUGCAAUGAGUAAGUUAUGCUCCUUGAGUACUGCUUAAUGUGAGUGGUAUAUCGUAGUUAUGAUAUUGCAGUUUGUAGGUUGCAACUCGCAGCAGGUUGAUGUUUUGGUUGGUAGAUCUCAUCUAUCUUGUUUCUUUUUGAGAAACAUCCUGAUCACUUGUAUUGGAUACAAACAGAUUAUGUGUUUGGGCAUACACCAACUUGGUAUUUUAUCAGCCUACAGAUUUUUAUGGUCUACCGGACCUAUAUUAUGUACGUAUUGAGAAUUUGCAACUUAAUUUGUAUAACCUAUACCCUGCAUUAUCUGCCAAAAUGUUAGAAAAAUGGUUUUCUAUUUUGCCUUUUCCGAGCACCUUACAUCAAAAGACCUCUGAUUGGUAAUGCUACAAUGUACAUAUCAUACUAUAGAUGUUGGUUCUUGAGUGUUCCGCAUAGUGACAAUGGUAUAAUGCACCGGAACCGUUUGUUAAGAGUUGAGUAAUUAGUCUAGGGCUUAUGUCUACACAUUAGCGUGUACAAUGUUCCUUUGGCGAAAAUGAGGUCGCUGUUUCACUACAGCUGUGAUGACAAUCUCGUGUAUUUGCAGGAAGCUGGCAACAGAUGACGGUAGCCGUAGCCCCUGCCCUGGCCGGAGGUCGCCGCGACCAUCUUAGUUCAGAGGACAAGACUCGUGCCUGCCCCAACGACUGAUGGGAUCAUGGAAGUGUAGGGAUGCAGUCCCUUGUGUGUGUAAGGCUGACUGGUGCUCAUGUGGCAGUAGUAUUUUAAGAAGUAAGAUGAGAAGCAAACCAUUUGCUGCCACCUGCUUGUGUCAUGUGGUGGUGGUAGCAAGCCCGAACUGCACAUUAGAUGUACUCAACUACAUUCUAAUGUUGGAUCUGUUGCUGUCGGGGCAGCAAAUGUUUGAGAGAAGCCUGGGCAUGCAUCAAUGGACGUCAAGAGUGUAGGCAAAUCACAAAUGCAUGAUGCUGUUUAGUUUCUACUCCCUCCGUUCCAUAUUACUCGUCGCUGAUUUAGUAUGGAACGGAGGGAGUAGCUUGCUCCGCUUCUGGCCUGUGGGCCUGGGUAUUUUGUGGGUCGACUGUCGUUUCUCUCUUUCUUUUCCAUGCAAUCCAAAAGAAGGAUCGAGUUCCACUGUCAAAGGUACUUUUUUUUCCUAAGAAACUUACAAUAUAUUCAUCUUCAAUCAUGGCAGUACAAGGAACAUCAAACACCAGAAAAAAAAACAGCCCGGUGCAUGUAGCUUCUACUUGCGCAGUGUCCAGGGAAAGGUCCGACCGCUUUUGGGUUGUAGGAACAGAGGUAAUAAAAAUUAUAACCAGAUCCGUCGAUCGCCUAGCAACGACUACAAGCACUAGUGUGAGCCAAAGGCGUGCCAUCGUUAUCGCUUUUCCCUCGUCGGAGCCGGACAAACUUUGUAGUAGACAGUCGGGAAGUUGUCGUGCUAAGACCUUAUAUGACCCGCACUAGAGCAGCAACCAUCGUCGAUGAAGAAAGUCGUAGAUCGGAAGGACCAAACUUGUAAACACCCAAAUGAAGACGAACGAAGACUGGAUCCAAACAGAUCCUCUAAAGACCAGCUCUGACUGAAUCUCACGAGAUCCGACGGAGACACACCUCCACACACCCUUUGAUGAAGCUAGACACACUAUCUGAAUGGGGAUAGAAUGUGGGAUACAGUAUUCCAACUGAGGGACAUCGUCGCCACCACGCAACCCCAACCAAGACGCUAAACUUAACAAGAACGAGAACGGGCCCCUCCUACCGGUGGGGGGCCGAGGUUCUCCGCACCUCCAUGGUCCAAGGCCAUCGAAGAUGAGGCGGACUGGCGGUGGCGUCGACAGGAGGAGGAAAGCAUGGAAUCUUUUCUUGUGGAGGAGGAAAGAGAAGGCUACCCACUGUCAAAGGUACCAUAACAUAACAAAAACAUAAAACAACAUCCUGGUGCAAAUGAAAGAGAUUGCAGCAACAUCCUAGGGCAGGUGGUUAGGGCUAGGUCGGCUGUCAACUGCACGAGGAAGAAGAUGAACAUGGCUGAGUGGGUUUGAGGAGGAUGAGUGAGCCGUUGAAUGUCAAUUUGAUGAUCAGAAAAGAAAGUGAUUGUUGAAACAUUUUUUUAGUUAUGUGACGAAUAGGUGCUCCCCAGAAAGAAGUAUUGCUCAUCGAUAACCAAAAGGUAAACGAUUCGUUUUGGUUGACCAGAAGAACUUCAGACGGUCGCCUCGCUAGCGCACUCAUGCCCAUGGCCCACAUCGCACACAACCUAGCGGUGUCCUGGAUUAGGGGGUACUCAUCUCGUCGGCCUACCACUCAUCAUGGGCCGGGUCGAGGACCCACCUAUAACCGAAGAAUAGGUCAUGCUUGAUGUUUGCCAUGACCUUCGUCGUACUCAAGAUGGAAUUUUUCGAGACUUGGCGCACACUUCAAGGCAUAUUCAAAUAUUUGGCAUGUUUAUCUCUAGAUGCAACCGACCGUGUGUAACCUUAGGUACCCCCGGCCCCUAUAUAAGCCGAGGGGUUUAGUCCAUAGAGGCAAGACUUUUUCAGACUCAUUCAUACGAUCUCGAGGUAGAUCAAUUGUACUUUGUACUCCAUCCGCAUCAAUACAAUCAAAGCAGAACGUAGAGUUUUACCUCCUCGAGAGGGCCUGAACCUGGGUAAACACCGUGUCCCUAUUCUUCCUGUUACCAUCUAGCAGAGACCACCAGCUCGGGACCCCUUACCCGAGAUCUGCCGGAUUUAGCUCCGACACAACCUUAUCCUUUUUCUUCUUCCACCGAACGAAUCUCCUCCUUUCUCGGUCUUCUAUAUACACUAGACCAUAUAGGCACGCGUUGCCGCGCCCAUCCAUCUUAAGAAGAGUAACAAUACAAUUGUUUGAGAAAUGUUGAGCUGUCAUAACAGAUCGUAAAGUUCGUAUGGUUCAAAAUAUCAUUUACCAAAACGUCCAAAAGGGGGAUAUAAUAUAUCAUGCACAAUGUAAUACUCCCUAAAGAGAAUCUCAUUUCUACAAAUAGGCUAUUUAUGUACAAUGCAACACAUGCAAUAAUAUGAGGGAUGGGCAAGAGAGGCUCAAAUUACCAACAAUCUAGCGAGUUAACAUAUGAUAUCUCCUCCUUCCCAAUAAGGAAAAUGAUGCACGCAAGCCUCACUGGAGCUUGCCUACAUCAUCGUAUGCCCACAUAACACUAUUCUUUGAGUAAAUUGCAGAAAACCACCAGUUUGAGGGCUAGGUUAGCAGAAAUCACUACGUUACAGUUUCUUGGCAAAAAACACCAACUCUCCCGUAAACAAUUUGCAAAUACCACUGAUCGGCGGAUUGGGCACCGAUAAGUGAAUUUAUGACAGGUGGGGCCCGCUUUUUUGCCGACGUGGCGUUGUCGGCUGGUCGGACAGCCGUUAGACGCCGUUAGACGGCGCUCUCGCACGUGAACUUAAGUGAUUCGCUCCUCUGUCUCUCACUCUCACUCUCACUUUGCUCUCGCACGCUCUCGCUCUCGCUCUGUUCUUGCUCGCCGCCGCCGGCCGCUCCGCUCCGCGUCGCGCCGCCGCCGCAUCGUCAUGGUGUCCUGGAGUGAAAGCAACGACAGCAGCGAGCACACUAGGCAGUACAUCAGCUCUGAUUCUGACGACGGCAGAAUGCAGGUAUGCAUUUGGGGAUAUUUUCCUAGGGUUAGGGUUAGGGUUUGUUCUACGAUUUGGGGAUAUUUUUCUCAAAGGAGCUUGUGUGUUAGCUGAUGAAAUGUUAUGCAUUUCUUUGCACUCCCAGGUCCCUGCUUCAACUGAGGACUCCGAUUUUGAGGGCCCUGAAGUUGAAAUGCAGGUUUUGUGCCAUGGUCACGGGAAGUUAGCAGAGAGGCGCGUUGCUUUUGAAGGAAUUCUAACUGGGAGGAGGUUUCUCUGUUGCGCUGAGAAGGUAUAUGCUUCUAAGUGACAGCACAAUCAUUGUUAGGAUUUGGCCAUUGUUUAUUUAUUGUUAAGUUGGGAGACUGUUGAGGCAGUCAUUGUUUACUCUUAGGAGAGUGUUGAGCCAGUCAUUGUUUACUCUGAGGAGAGUGUUUAGGCAGUCAUUUUUUACUCUGGCAACAAUGUUAAUUAGAUUAAAGUACAGUGGAUGCAUGGGUUAGUUUAUUCCUAAUAGCAGCACAUCAUUGUAUAAUUGAGAGCAGAACAUCAGUGCUUUCUUUUUGAUGUACUUUAUCUUGGGAGUUUUUAAAUAUAAUAUCUUUAGCUUUGGUUGUGAUGAAAGGUUUUAAUAUGGUUUUGAAUACUACCUUAUUUCAGGAAGGUAGAGACUGUGGACUAGUUAAAUGGAUUGAUCCUGCUUGGCCCAAUACCCUUGAGAAUGCAUUGCACAAGUUAUGGUUGAUGUAUGAAGACAACAAGAGACAGAGGGCUGAGGACACUCUGAUGAAUUCUUUUGAAGUUCAUAACCUGACACAAGAGAAGAAAAAGCUACAGGCCAGCUAUGAGAAGCUAGUUGAAGAUGUCAAUGCACUUGUGGAUGCCCAGCAACGUAGGGUAGAGAUAGAAAAGACAGAUGCUGAUACCAAGAAGUUGGAGGAGAAGUAUGAGAUGGUGAAGAACCUGGUAGCUGCUCAGGCCAGUGUCAUUAGGAACAUGAAGCUCAAGCUAGCUGAAGAGAGGAAGAACUUGCAGAUCCAGAUUGAUGAGCUGCAGAAGAGUGUUGAAGAGAGCAAUGUGAAGCUGCAUGAGAGCAAUGUGAAGCUGCAGGAGAGCAAUUUGAAGCUGCAGGGGAUCAAGGCCAUCCUAAAUGAAUGAUCACCUGGCUGUGGAAGAGGGCACUCUCAUUUGGCAUUUGCUUACCUUUUGUAGGGUGUGGUUGGCUGUGCUGUAAUGAGAUUAUGGUUUUAAUUUCCUGAACUAUGGAUCUGUAAAGUACUAAUCUAGUACUAUGAUUAUGUAUGGAUUUGAAUUAAUGCUAAAUGUGAUGGUAUUUAGAGUAUUUGGAUGAAAUCUGAUCUGUUUAGAAUUUAUGUAUUUGAGCCAUCAAAUAGGUUUGUAGCCAUCUUUGGGGGUUUUGUCAACAUCUAGCCUUCACUAGGGUUUUUAGGCAUCUUUGAUGAUUUUGUCGACAUCUAGCCAUCACCUAGGGUUUUUAGGCAUGUUCGAUGGUUUUGUCGACAUCUAGCCUUCACUAGGGUUUUUAGGCAUCUUCGAUGGUUUUUUCGACAUCUAGCCAUCACCUAGGGUAUUUUGGCAUCUUCGAUGGUUUUGUCGACAUCUAGCCUUCACUAGGGUUUUUAGGCAUCUUCGAUGGUUUUGUCGACAUCUAGCCAUCACCUAGGGUAUUUUGGCAUCUUUGAUGGCUUUGUCGACAUCUAGCCAUCACCUAGGGUAUUUUGGCAUCUUUGAUGGCUUUCUCGACAUCUAGCCAUCACCUAGGGUUUUUUGGCAUCUUUGAUGGCUUUGUUGACAUCUAGCCUCAUCAUCACAAAAUGUAUGAUAAACUCAUCAUCACAAAAUACCAGAAAAGAUAUCUGAAGCAUUAUAGUAUCACAACUUAACUUAAACAUCUCAACUACAUGACCAUCAUCACAACCGAACUGACCAAAUUGACAGUAUUUUGACACAACCAAACAUCUCAACAGUAGUUUGACACAACCAAAUUGACAGUAUUUUGACACACAACCAAACUGACCAUCAUCACAAGAUUUUUCACACACCUAAAAUGCAUCAUUCCCAUGGAGCACCUGAAGCAGUCAAGUAAUCUCUAAUUUUCUGGGUGGGCUUCCUGAUUCUUUGGGAAACAACAGUUGUUCUUGGAGGCAAGAAAGAUGCCCUUGCUCCCUUUGCAGCAGCUGAAGAUCUAGUUACUGCUGUUUUACCCUUUGCACCAGAUGAUGAACUACCAGCAGCUGUCCUUUGUGGUGGUGCAGCAGAAGUGGCCCUCUUCUUUGGUGGUCCAGGUGCUGUUGCAGAAGCAGAAGAUGCCCUCUUCUUUGGUGGUCCAGGUGUUGUUGCAGAAGCAGAAGAGGCCCUCUUCUUUGCUGGUCCAGGUGCUAUAGCAGAAGAAGAAGAUGCCCUCUGUGCUGGUGAUGGUGCAGUAGCAGCAGCACCAGCAGCAGAAGAGGCCCUCCUUGCUGGUGUGGCUGCAUCAGGUUCAUAGGAGCUGCUCCUUGGCUACAAAAAGAUCAAAUAGUGUAAGAACAGGAAGAUGAAUUCAAAGCAACAUCAAAUAGUCAAUAUUAGGACAUUGGUUACCUCAUGCAUGUUCUUUCUCAUUGCCAGUGAGGGAUUCAAAGCAACAUUACAGUUGGUGUAUCUAUGGCCAACCUUUUUGCAAUUAGAACAGGUAAUUGAGGCCAUUCUUGAGGUGUCUUUGGGAGCUGGCUUCUCAUAUUGGCCCUUUCUCCUUUUAGUCUGUGCCCUUCCCUUGUGUUCUUUGAAAACUGGAGCCUCAAUGUCCAUACUGUCUGUCCUUGGCCACAUAUCAGGUCCAGGUACAGGAUAUAUAAUGGGACUGUAAGCUGCCAUGUACAUCUUUUUUUUGAAGAAAUCAUGAACAAAGUCCUCUGGCUGAAGCUUAGCCUUGUGUAUGGCAGAAACAACAUGAUUGCAAGGAACUGUUGUCAUAUCCCACUUCUUGCACCCACAAGUCCUAUGUUGUAGGUUCACAUCAUAAGUUCUCUCCCCACUAGUGACUUGGUAAAGAUUAGGCCCAGCCAUCAAAGCAUGACAGUUCCUUGCAAACUUCUUUGCUUCCUCUAAUUUCUCAGCAUAUGUUGGACAAAUUUUCCAUCUUACAGUCUCAGUCUUUGUUCUAUUUGCAUUGAACUUGACCAUUAACUUUGUCCUAAUUCCAUCCACCAUGGUCCUAAUUGGUUUAGCCCUGACAUCUAGAACCCACUUGUUGAAAACCUCACUUAGAUUGUUAACAUCUAAGUCCGUUUUGCAGUUCAUAUCCAUUGCAUGUCUGGCCAAGUGUGUUUAGGUAUUUUGCUUAGCCAUUCCCAAGCAGCCUCACUCUCAUUCUUUAAUUCAGCCAUUGCAGUUUUAAAACCAUGUUCAGUGUAUGAAUAACUAGCUGCAUCCAUGUAUUGCUUUAAUUCAGGCCCUCUAAACCCAGCAUUUUGAAAGUGUUGAUAGAUAUGUCUAAGACAAAACCUUUGGGGACAAUUGGGAAACACUCUGGUAAUGGCUUUUAAAAGGCCCUGUGUGUGUGAUAGUACAAUAAGUAAAUACAAGAAAGUAAAUACAAGAAAGUAAAUAAAGAAAGUAAUUACAACUGAUUACCUUCUGCCUAUGUGAAAUUAUUGUGUAGUUCCCAAACUUCCCAGAUUCUCCACCUAAUGCUUGUCUCAACUGGUAUAAAAACCAGGUCCAGGAGUUAGUGUCCUCCUUAUCAACAAUUCCAAAAGCAAUGGGAAAAAUAUUAUUAUUCCCAUCUCUUCCAGUUGCAGCUAGAAUUUGUUGACCAGUAGUGAGCUUGAUGAAACAACCAUCUAGACCUACAACAAAUAAAUGAAAUCACAAUUGAUUAGCACAUGAAAUCAAACAUUAGUAGCACUUAGCACAAAUACUAUUGACUUACCUAUGAAUGGUCUGCAGCCAUUGAGAAACCCUUCUUUGCAUCCAUUCAAGCAUAUGGACAGUGCAUGAAACCUAGGGUUAGUGCUUGGAUACUCCUUCAGAUAUCUUGUUGUCACAAUGCAUCUUGAACCUGGAUUUGUAUUCAACACAGCCUGUAAAUAAUCCCUAAUCCUGGUGUACUGGGCUUUCUGGUCUCCUAACACAACAGCCUUUGCUGCCCUCUUUGCCCUGUAUGCCAUGUGUGUUGAUAUGUCCACACCAUACUUGCUCUUUGUAGUAUUAAUAAUACUUGUGAUUGUUGUGCAUGGGUCAUUUCUGAUAGCCUUCUCAUAGAAUUUUGAAACCCACUUAGCAGUGACUUUAGUGUUCUCUGACAUAGAAGGGCAUGUGUGCACUAAAUACACCUUCCUAAUUGUAAAUGACUUCUCAUUUGCAAUCUGAGAAGCUGCUAUAUAGAAGGGACAUUGCUCAUCUAUGCACUGUGCUAUCACCCUAUCACUACAGUUUCUAUGGUAGACAAAGUUCCUGUUUUGAGCAAUGUGCAGGGUUUGAAGUGCAGUUCUAAACUGGUACACAUUUAAGAAGCAAAGAUGCUUCACAAAUUUCUCCUCUGGAUGAGCUCUGUGCUCAUCAAACCAUAACCUCUUCUUCAUCUUCUUUGCUCUGCUUUUUCUACCAUUGGGCAACACAUAUGCCAAUGCCUCAGCACCACCAUCAUCUUCCACACCAAGGUCUUGUGGUUUCUUGUCCUCAUCAGAUGAUGGAAUCCAGUCCUCAAACAUGUGUUCUAUACUCCCAUGUGAAUUGCUUGUUGGACCUUUUCUUUGUCUCUUGGCCCUUCUCUUGUUUGGUACAUCUUGCCCUAGCUCAUCCUCUUGUUCGUCUUCCUCCAUUUCCUCCUCCUCUUCCUCCUCUACAUCCUCUUCUUCACCUUGUGGCACAUACAGCUCAUCAUCCACCUCUGAGUCACACAUUUCCUCAACAUCUGUGUCCCCUUCAAAAUGAAGUUCUGGGUCAUUCCUCUGUCUUGUCAUCUCCUCAAGCCUAGCUAAGAUAUCACCAUAUUCUACCAGAUCAUCAUCAUCACUAUCCUCUUCAUUGUCCAUCACUGCUGCUUUCCUAUUCAAACAAGUCUCCUUCGCUCUUUCCUUCUUGUUCUUCCUAAACAUUUCAAUUUCAUUUCUCCUUUUCUCCUCCAUUUCUUGCUCUAUUAACAGUUGCUCCUCUGAAUUGUCAUUCACAUGGUAUUCUUCCACUACUGCGUCACCUAAAGCAGGUUCGAGGCUCACAUUUAUUCUGCCCUGCUGUGUGUCAAACUGCAAGGGCAUUGGCUCUUGUUCUCCUCCUGCAUCACAACUCUCAGCUUCUACAUGCACAUUUUCAGCAUUGAACAACACUCCUUCAUCAUCAAUCUGAUCAGUUUGGGCUCUCCAAUUUGUUCUAUUGGGGUCUGCAUCUCAAUGACAUUAACACUGGUAUUUAUAUUGGGAACUUUCUCUGCACUGGCCCUAACUAUUGUCACAUUCAAUAUCUUGUUAUUCUCCUCUGCUAUGUGGUCUAAAAUUUCCUCUAACUUAUCAUCAUCAUCUAUUUCUUCCAUUCCUUCAAUCCCUAGCCCAGGGUCCCUCACAUAAUACAUAUAAUCUCUAAAACCAUACCCUUCUGUCUUCAUAAGUGCUACCAAAUUGUAAUAUGUGAUGUCUGACAUCAUCAUACUCCUUUCAAUAUUAUCUCUGUCAUGAAAAUGCAUCCUCAAUUCCCAAACCUCAUCUUCAAGACUGCAAAUAAUAAUACAAUAGUGCACUAUAAGUACUUCAAGAAAACUGAAGCAAGCUAGUACAGACCAGAGCAGAACAUCAUUUGAGUGCAACAAUUCAUAUCCUUCUAUUUACAGAAACCCUAGUUGUAAGCAUCUAAUUAAAGAACUAUAUCAUUCUAAUUACAGAACUAUAACACACAUAAACCCUAGAACUACAACACACACAAACCCUAGAACUACAUUAACCCUAACCCUAGCAACAGAAGGGGAAUGUGAUUGGGGAGGGGAAUGGGACUGGGAUCUCACUAGACGCCGCCGAAAGCUGAAGCAAUGUGCUGGCUUCCAACUGGAUUUGCCUUCACCGCCGCGGCGAAUGAUCUGGCCGCCCUAAAUUCCACCGAGUACUGCGGGUCCUCCUCCUCCUCUUCUUCUGCCGUCGCCUUCGUAGGGUUCGAGCUCCCGCACAUCUCGCCAGUGGAUGGCUGGGCGCCGCCGCCAGCAUCGCUCGACUUCGCCGGACUCAUGUCUGCGACGGGAGGCGGGGACGGUGCGCCGCACGACCGGGAACAGGGGAGAAUAAGGGGGGAACGGGGGAAGAAGACGGGGGAUAAGAGGAAACAGAACGAACGGCGCCGUCUAACAGCGUCUAACGGCUGUCCGACCAGCUGACAGCGCCACGUCGGCAAAAACCGGGCCCCACCUGUCAUAAAUCCACUUAUCGGUGCCCGAUCCGCCGAUCAGUGGUAUUUGCAAAUUGUUUACGAGAGAGUUGGUGUUUUUUGCCAAGAAACUGUAACGUAGUGAUUUCUGCUAACCUAGCCCUUAAACUGAUGGUUUUCUGCAAUUUACUCCUAUUCCUUUUCACUGUGCAAAAAUGAACAAUAGUGAAAUGCAAAUAUCAGCACAUGGUGAAUACUAAGAUGAACUAACCGGUUGAUGUCUUAAUAAGGAUAAAAAACGUGUAUGCUCUACGUCGCUACAAUGCUACCUCUAAUCAUCCCCGUGGCAGCUACAAAAGGUCCCGAUCAAAUUGUAAGCAAGAAAAGAUAAGAUAAACAUCAUAGAAGUAGAAAGAAACUGAAGUACAAAAAUUCAAUACACAGGUUGCCGAGCCUAUCAGUGAAUAUACUCACCAUAUCUUCCUGUCUUGGCAGGGGAAUGGAAACAAACACUUGAAACAGAGGAAAUAGAAAUUAUUCAUUGUGAGAAAAACAGGGAGGAGUCACAUAGCUGCAAAUAAAGUAGCAUAAUUGUGCUCCUCCCCAACAAUUUUGUCAGUUUGUAUAUGUCAAACUAUUGGUCGAAUAAAGAAUGGGUCUGUCUAGGACACAUCUAGCUGUGACAUAGUUAUGUCACAUCUAAGUUGAUGACCAUUUUAUUUGUGGUCUGUUUUUUUAUCCUAGUUUUUUUAUUUUUUGUUGCUGCAUUAUAUAUUUGUGGAAGCUUAGAUGUGACAUCCUUAAAAAACAUCUAAAUGUGAAUUAGACAAACUGAUAAAGAAUAGCUGAAAAUCUGGAAUGAAUAAUUACCAUUGACAAUUAUACUAAUCAUUAUAUAUGAUAUUUUACGACUAUGGCUUGGAAGUUAGAUCAAAUACCACAGAAAAUAUAAAUACAACAGCAGAUCUUGGUUUUUGCAGGUUGCUAAAAAUAUGAGAUACAGAGCUGUAUCUCUUUUUCCAAUCAAAACUUUUGAAAUAAAAAUUCCCAUCAACAAAUAGUGAAUGGGUCACUUCUGGAGACAAAUAUAUCUUCCUGCCACUGAGAUACCAUGAUACAAAUGUAUAUAUAAUUCGAUCAUAACUGUCUACAUCGACUUGUGUUCUGGUCACUCAUUUUUAAUCGUGUAUAUGUUGUAGCUCCAAAUCAUGAAUAAGACAUGACGUCUAAGCAGCAGACCAGAGUGUUGGAUGGUCACUUAUCCACGCUUUGUGAUUACUCUAGGUACCCCACACCUUAAUUAAUCAAGCACAGCUGACAGCCUAAAACAAAAAGAUAUGGAAGAUCAUCUCAUUAUUUCUUGCAAAGAAAAAUAAAUAAACGAUGAAGCAGAUGCAGUACAUAUACUCAUGUCAGAUGUAGGACAGUUGCAAUAUAAUAACUGCUCACUUGGAUCUCAACGGAGAAGAGCAGCACUGUCACCCCCAUGGCCCCAUCCCCUCGUCGCCCGUAUCAUCUUGCCAUCACAGCAACACUGCCACGCACAGGAAGGUGAGAAAACAUCCCACCGCUGCCCAUAUAUGUCGCCGUAUUUGGAGAGAGGUCGUCGACGGCGCCGGCUGCCGCCGCAGCCGCCACGGACAAACGAUACAAGACACGAAAUGAAAAAACAGUAAAAAAAGGGGCUGCUGAGGAAGAGUACAGGGCGGGUGGACGGAAUCGGUGAGGAGGCAGUCGCGAAGAAGAAGCUCGCCGAUGAUGGAACAACGGCGCAUCGAGGAGGAAAGAACGGCGGUCGGCGACGCAUCGAGGAGCCAGAAACGGCGGCACGCGACGAACAGAUGGGGAGGAUAGCGAUGGAACCUGGACAACCUGGGCUGUUAGCGUUAGCAUUCAGAAAAUGAAAAGGCGUGGGCCUUCGAAGACCCGAUUACGGAGAGGAAAACUAACUCGCUCUGUGGAGCAGCAGCCCGCGAGACUUGCGUGCAGUGCGUGAGCAACCUGGGACGCCGAGAGCUGAUCUUGAUCGUACGUUUGAGUGAUCCGAUGGCUGAGAGCGUCAAAGCGACAUGGAGGCUCCUAGCUAGCUGUGUUAUACUGUUUAGUAAUACAAACUUGGGAGCCCAGGCAGCAAGCUCCAUGAUGAGGAACGCUAAGUGAGAAGAAAGAAAACACAUGCCAGAUAUGUUUGGCUACUUCUAAAUGCUUCCACUCUAGUGUAGUAUUUCUUUUGUUUUCUUUAUCCUACCCGCUGUUUCUAGAGUUCUCUAGUUAUAAGUAGUUGUGAGUAGAGAGAUGAAUCCUAAGUAAUGUUUUCUAGAGUGUUCCAGCUAUAAGUAGAAGUAUGUGAAGGCUUCCCAAAGCCCUAUAAAUAGAGGUCCUCACCUCUACUUUGUAAAACCAGACUAUGUAUCCACUACCUAUAAUAGAACUUGUUGUUCUUAUCUAAGAUCUUGGAGUAGAUCUUGUGUCCUAGGAGUUUUGGAUUGAACCCUUGCUGCCCUAUCGGCCUACAUUCGCCUCUAGAGCGAUAUCUAGCACAAUACGUUGAAGUUGUUCCUUCAACACUUGUGUUGUGCACAUUGUAGCAGCAAGGUGGAGUUGCUCCUCCACAACCUUUGUGCUGCUUCAGGUGGCAUCAAAGCCAGGUUGAACCAUACUAGUUCUUGCUAUCCUCUUCGAGAGCAAGCUGUAGCAAAGCAAUGGAGCAAUUGGAGAAGAGGAUGGAUGCUGCAGAGCAACAAAUCAAAGAGCUGCGUGAAGAUCUUAAUCGGAGAUUUGAUUAGCUGGUUGAGAUGAUAAGAAAGGGUGUACCCCUGCUACCAAUGAAGGACAUUAAUCUAAAGAAGAAGAUGUUCAUCAAAGAAGAAGGAGAGGUAAUCUUGGAGCAAGGCCGCCACAACAAUGUGCUGUUCAACAUGCUUCAAGAAGGCCAAUUUAUGUUGAAACUUCUGAAAGUAAAGAAUAUGAUGAAGUCCUUGAAGAAGUUGAUCUCUAUGCAUAUCGAAGAGUACCCAACCCUACAUAUGCAAGGGAUACAUAUAAGGUGAAAGCUGAGAUCCCAACUUUUAAUAGAAAUGUUGAUAUUGAAGGGUGCCUAGAUUGGUUAUAUGAAGUCGAGACUUUCUUUGAGGUCAUGGAGGUUCCGGAAGAUCGUAGAGUCCCUUUGGUCGCAUACAAGCUUAAAGGAGGAGCCGAUGCAAUUGGGGAACGCAGUAUUUCAAAAAAUUUACCUACGAUCACGCAAUCUAUCUAUGUGAUGCAUAACAACGAGCGGGAGAGUGUGUCCACGUACCCUCGCAGACCGAAAGCGGAAGCGUUAGCAACGCGGUUGAUGUAGUCAAACGUCUUCGCGAUCCAACCGAUCAAGUACCAAACACACGGCACCUCCGCGAUCUGCACACGUUCAUCUCGGUGACGUCCUUCGAACUCUUGAUCCAGCUGAGCGCCGAGGGAGAGUUUCGUCAGCACGACGACGUGAUGACGGUGAUGAUGAAUUUACCGACGCAGGGCUUCGCCUAAGUACUACAACGAUAUGACCGAGGUGGAAAUCUGUUGAGGGGGGCACCGCACACGGCUAAACAAUCAACCUGUGUGUCUAUGGGGUUCCCCCCUCCCCCGUAUAUAAAGGAGCAAGGGGGAGGCCGGCCGGCCCUCAUAGGGCACGCCCAAGGGGGGCAAUCUGAAGGAAAUAUGCCCUAGAGGCAAUAAUAAAGUUGUUAUUUAUAUUUCUUUAUAUCAUGAUAAAUGUUUCUUAUUCAUGCUAGAAUUUUAUUAACCGGAAACUUAGUACAUGUGUGAAUACAUAGACCAACAGAGUGUCACUAGUAUGCCUCUACUAGACUAGCUCGUUGAAUCAAAGAUGGUUAAAGUUUCCUAGCCAUAGACAUGAGUUGUCAUUUGAUUAAUGGGAUCACAUCAUUAGAAUGAUGUGAUUGACUUGACCCAUUCCGUUAGCUUAGCACUUGAUCGUUUACUUUAUUGCUAUUGCUUUCUUCAUGACUUAUACAUGUUCCUAUGACUAUGAGAUUAUGCAACUCCCGAAUACCGGAGGAACACUUAGUGUUCUAUCAAACGUCACAACGUAACUGGGUGAUUAUAAAGAUGCUCUACAGGUGUCUCCGAUGGUGUUUGUUGGGUUGGCAUAGAUUGAGAUUAGGAUUUGUCACUUCGUGUUUCGGAGAGGUAUCUCUGGGCCCUCUCGGUAAUGCACAUCACUAUAAGCCUUGCAAGCAAUGUGACUAAUGAGUUAGUUACGGGAUGAUGCAUUACGUAACGAGUAGAGAGACUUUCCGGUAACGAGAUUGAACUAGGUAUAGAGAUACCGACGAUCGAAUCUCGGGCAAGUAACAUACCGAUGACAAAGGGAACAACGUAUGUUGUUAUGCGGUUUGACCGAUAAAGAUCUUCGUAGAAUAUGUGGGAGCCAAUAUGAACAUCUAGGUUCCCCUAUUGGUUAUUGACCGGAGACGUGUCUCAGUCAUGUCUACAUAGUUCUCAAACCCGUAGGGUCCGCACGCUUAACGUUCGGUGACGAUCGGUAUUAUGAGUUUACGUGUUUUGAUGUAUCGAAGGUAGUUCGGAGUCCCGGAUAUGAUCACGGACAUGACGAGGAGUCUCAAAAUGGCCGAGAUAUGAAGAUUGAUAUAUUGGACGGCUAUAUUCGGACACAGGAAGUGUUCCUGGUGAUUUCGGAGAAAACCGGAGAGCCGCAGGGUUACCGGACCCCCCCCCCCGGGGAACUAGUGGGCCUAGAUGGGCCUUAGUGGAGAGAGAGAGGGGCUGCCAGGGCAGGCCACGCGCCCCCUCCCCCUUGAGUCUGAAUUGGACUAGGAGGGGGGUGGCGCCCCCCCUUUCCUUUCCCUCUCCCACUCCUUCCUUCCCCCUCCUAGUAGAACUAGGAAAGGAGGAAUCCUACUCCUACUAGGAGGAGGAUUCCUCCCCUCCUUGGCGCGCCCUAGGGCCGGCCGGCCUCCCCCCUUGCUCCUUUAUAUACGGGGGCAUGGGGCACCCUAGAACACACAACAGACAUUGUCUUAGCCGUGUGCGGUGCCCCCCUCCACCAUAAUCCACCUCGGUCAUAUCGCUGCAAUGCUUAGGCGAAGCCCUGCACCGGUAACUUCAUGAUCACCGUCAUCGCGCGUCGUGCUGACGAAGCUCUCCCUCGACACUCAGCUGGAUCGAGAGUUCGUGGGACGUCACCGAGCCGAAUGUGUGCAGAUCGUGGAGGUGCCGUACUUUCGGUACUAGGGUCGGUCGGAUCGUGAAGGCGUACGACUACAUCAACCGCGUUGUCAUAACGCUUCUGCUUUCGGUCCACGAGGGUACGUGGACAACACUCUUCCCUCUCAUUGCUAUGCAUCACCUAGAUGGAUCUUGCGUGUGUGUAGGAAUUUUUUUGAAAUUACCACGUUCCCCAACAGUGGCAUCCGAGCCAGGUCUAUGCGUAGAUGUUAUAUGCACGAGUAGAACACAAAGAGUUGUGGGUGAUAAUAGUCAUACUGCUUACCAGCAUGUCAUACUUUGAUUCGGCGGUAUUGUUGGAUGAAGCGGCCCGGACCGACAUUACGUGUACGCUUACGCGAGACCGGUUCUACCGACGUGCUUUUGCACACAGGUGGUUGGCGGAUGUCAGUUUCUCCAACUUUAGUUGAAUCGAGUGUGACUACGCACGGUCCUUGUUGAAGGUUAAAACAACACACUUGAAGAAAAAUCGUUGUGGUUUUGAUGCGUAGGUAAGAACGGUUCUUGCUCAACCCGUAGCAGCCACGUAAAACUUGCAACAACAAAGUAGAGGACGUCUAACUUGUUUUUGCAGGGUAUGUUGUGAUGUGAUAUGGUCAAGACAUGAUGCUAAAUUUUAUUGUAUGAGAUGAUCAUGUUUUGUAACACAGUUAUCGGCAACUGGCAGGAGCCAUAUGGUUGUCGCUUUAUUGUAUGAAAUGCAAUCGCCAUGUAAUUGUUUUACUUUAUCACUAAGCGGUAGCGAUAGUCGUAGAAGCAAUAGUUGGCGAGACGACAACGAUGCUACGAUGGAGAUCAAGGUGUCGCGCCGGUGAUGAUGGUGAUCAUGACGGUGCUUUGGAGAUGGAGAUCAAAGGCACAAGAUGAUGAUGGCCAUAUCAUAUCACUUAUAUUGAUUGCAUGUGAUGUUUAUCCUUUAUGCAUCUUAUUUUGCAUAGUUCGGCGGUAGCAUUAUAAGAUGAUCUCUCACUAAAUUUCAAGGUACAAGUGUUCUCCCUGAGUAUGCACCGUUGCGAAAGUUCGUCGUGCCGAGACACCACGUGAUGAUCGGGUGUGAUAUGCUCUACGUUCACAUACAACGGGUGCAAGCCAGUUUUGCACAUGCAGAAUACUCGGGUUAAACUUGACGAGCCUAGCAUAUGCAGAUAUGGCCUCGGAACACUGAGACCGAAAGGUCGAGCGUGAAUCAUAUAGUAGAUAUGAUCAGCAUAGUGAUGUUCAACAUUGAAAACUACUCCAUCUCACGUGAUGAUCGGACAUGGUUUAGUUGAUUUGGAUCACGUGAUCACUUAGAUGAUUAGAGGGAUAUCUAUAUAAGUGGGAGUUCUUAAGUAAUUUGAUUAAUUGAACUUUAAUUUAUCAUGAACUUAGUACCUGAUAGUAUUUUGCAUGUCUAUGUUGUUGUACAUCAAUGGCCCAUGCUACUGUUCCUUUGAAUUUUAAUGUGUUCCUAGAGAAAGCUAAGUUGAAAGAUGAUGGUAGCAACUACAUGGACUGGGUCCGUAACUUGAGGAUUAUCCUCAUUGUUGCACAGAAGAAUUAUGUCCUGGAAGCACCGCUAGGUGCAAGACCCGCUGCAGGAGCAAUGCCGGACGUUGUGAACGCCUGGCAGAGCAAAGCUGAUGACUACUCGAUAGUUCAGUGUGCCAUGCUUUACGGCUUAGAACCAGGACUUCAACGGCGUUUUGAACGUCAUGGAGCAUAUGAGAUGUUCCAGGAGAUGAAGUUAAUAUUUCAAGCAAAUGCCCGGAUUGACAGAUAUGAAGUCUCCAAUAAGUUCUAUAGCUGCAAAAUGGAGGAGAAUAGUUCUGUCAGUGAACAUAUACUCAAAAUGUCUGGGUAUCAUAAUCACUUGACUCAGCUGGGAGUUAAUCUUCCGGUUGAUAGUGUCAUUGACAGAGUUCUUCAAUCACUGCCACCAAGCUACAAAAGCUUCGUGAUGAACUAUAACAUGCAAGGGAUGGAUAAGACGAUUCCCGAGCUCUUCGCAAUGCUAAAGGUUGCGGAGGUAGAAAUCAAGAAGGAGCAUCAAGUGUUGAUGGUCAACAAGACCACCAGUUUCAAGAAAAAAGGGUAAAGGGAAGAAGGGAAACUUCAAGAAGAACGGCAAGCAAGUUGCUGCUCAAGUGAAGAAGCCCAAGUCUGGACCUAGGCCUGAGACUGAGUGCUUCUACUCCAAAGGGACUGGUCACUGGAAGCAGAACUGCCCCAAGUAUUUGGCGGAUAAGAAGGAUGGCAAGGUGAACAAAGGUAUAUGUGAUGUACAUGUUAUUGAUGUGUACCUUACUAAUACUCGCAGUAGUACCUGGGUAUUUGAUACUGGUUCUGUUGCUAAUAUUUGCAACUCGAAACAGGACUACAGAUUAAGCGAAGGUUGGCUAAGGACGAGGUGAUGAUGCGUGUGGGAAAUGGUUCCAAAGUCGAUGUGAUCGCCGUCGGCACGCUACCUCUACAUCUACCUUCGGGAUUAGUUUUAUACCUGAAUAAUUGUUAUUUGGUGCCAGCGUUAAGCAUGAACAUUAUAUCUGGAUCUUGUUUGAUGCAAGACGGUUAUUCAUUUAAAUCCGAGAAUAAUGGUUGUUCUAUUUAUAUGAGUAAUAUCUUUUAUGGUCAUGCACCCUUGAAAAGUGGUCUAUUUUUGUUGAAUCUUAAUAGUAGUGAUACGCAUAUUCAUAAUAUUGAAGCCAAAAGAUGCAGAGUUGAUAAUGAUAGUGCAACUUAUUUGUGGCACUGCCGUUUGGGUCAUAUUGGUGUAAAGCGCAUGAAGAAACUCCAUUCUGAUGGACUUUUGGAAUCACUUGGUACUUGUGAACCAUGCCUCAUGGGCAAGAUGACUAAAACUCUGUUCUCCGGAACAACGGACGAGCAACAGAUUUGUUGGAAAUCAUACAUACCGAUGUAUGUGGUCCGAUGAAUAUUGAGGCUCGCGGCGGGUAUCGUUAUUUUCUGACCUUCACAGAUGAUUUGAGCAGAUAUGGGUAUGUCUACUUAAUGAAACAUAAGUCUGAAACAUUUGAAAAGUUCAAAGAAUUUCAGAGUGAAGUGGAAAAUCAUCGUAACAAGAAAAUAAAGUUUCUACGAUCUGAUCAUGGAGGAGAAUAUUUGAGUUACGAGUUUGGUCUUCAUUUGAAACAAUGCGGAAUAGUUUUGCAACUCACGCCACCUGGAACACCACAGCGUAAUGGUGUAUCUGAACGCCGUAACCGCACUUUAUUAGAUAUGGUGCGAUCUAUGAUGUCUCUUACUGAUUUACCGCUAUCGUUUUGGGGUUAUGCUUUAGAGAUGGAUGCAUCCACGUUAAUAGGGCACCAUCUAAAUCCGUUGAGACGACACCUUAUGAACUGUGGUUUGGCAAGAAACCCAAGUUGUCGUUUCUUAAAGUUUGGGGCUGCGAUGCUUAUGUGAAAAAGCUUCAACCUGAUAAGCUCGAAUCCAAAUCGGAGAAAUGUGUCUUCAUAGGAUACCCAAAGGAGACUAUUGGGUACACCUUCUAUCACAGAUCCGAAGGCAAGACAUUCGUUGCUAAGAAUGGAUCCUUUCUAGAGAAGGAGUUUCUCUCGAAAGAAGUGAGUGGGAGGAAAGUAGAACUUGAUUAGGUAACUGUACCUGCUCCCUUAUUGGAAAGUAGUUCAUCACAGAAAUCAGUUCAUGUGACUACUACACCAAUUAGUGAGGAAGCUAAUGAUGAUGAUCAUGUAACUUCAGAUCAAGUUACUACUGAACCUCGUAGGUCAACCAGAGUAAGAUCUGCACCAGAGUGGUACGGUAAUCCGGUUCUGGAGGUCAUGUUACUUGACCAUGACGAACCUACGAACUAUGAGGAAGCGAUGAUGAGCCCAGAUUCCGCGAAAUGGCUUGUGGCCAUGAAAUCUGAGAUGGGAUCCAUGUAUGAGAACAAAGUGUGGACUUUGGUUGACUUGCCCGAUGAUCGGCAAGCCAUAGAGAAUAAAUGGAUCUUCAAGAAGAAGACUGACGCCGACGGUAAUAUUACUGUCUACAAAGCUCGACUUGUUGCGAAAGGUUUUCGACAAGUUCAAGGAGUUGACUACGAUGAGACCUUCUCACCCGUAGCGAUGCUUAAGUCCGUCUGAAUCAUGUUAGCAAUUGAUGCAUUUAUGAUUAUGAAAUUUGGCAAAUGGAUGUAAAGACUGCAUUCCUGAAUGGAUUUAUGGAAGAAGAGUUGUAUAUGAUGCAACCCGAAGGUUUUAUCAAUCCAAAGGAUGCUAACAAAGUGUGUAAGCUCCAGCGAUCCAUUUAUGGACUGGUGCAAGCAUCUCGGAGUUGGAAUAAACGUUUUGAUAGUGUGAUCAAAGCAUAUGGUUUUAUACAGACUUUUGGAGAAGCCUGUAUUUACAAGAAAGUGAGUGGGAGCUCUGUAGCAUUUCUAAUAUUAUAUGUGGAUGACAUAUUGUUGAUUGGAAAUGAUAUAGAAUUUCUGGAUAGCAUAAAAGGAUACUUGAACAAGAGUUUUUCAAUGAAAGACCUCGGUGAAGCUGCUUAUAUAUUGGGCAUCAAGAUCUAUAGAGAUAGAUCAAGACGCUUAAUUGGACUUUCACAAAGCACAUACCUUGAGAAAGUUUUGAAGAAGUUCAAAAUGGAUCAAGCAAAGAAAGGGUUCUUGCCUGUGUUACAAGGUGUGAAGUUGAGUCAGACUCAAUGCCCGACCACUGCAGAAGAUAGAGAGAAAAUGAAAGUCAUUCCCUAUGCUUCAGCCAUAGGUUCUAUCAUGUAUGCAAUGUUGUGUACCAGACCUGAUGUGUGCCUUGCUAUUAGUUUAGAAGGGAGGUACCAAAGUAAUCCAGGAGUGGAUCACUGGACAGCGGUCAAGAACAUCCUGAAAUACCUGAAAAGGACUAAGGAUAUGUUUCUCGUUUAUGGAGGUGACAAAGAGCUCGUCGUAAAUGGUUACGUCGAUGAAGCUUUGACAUUGAUCCGGAUGACUCUAAGUCACAAACCAGAUACGUAUUUAUAUUGAACGGUGGAGCUGUCAGUUGGUGCAGUUCUAAGCAAAGCGUCGUGGCGGGAUCUACGUGUGAAGCGGAGUACAUAGCUGCUUCGGAAGCAGCAAAUGAAGGAGUCUAGAUGAAGGAGUUCAUAUCCGAUCUAGGUGUCAUACCUAGUGCAUCGGUGUCACGGCCGGAUUUUCGGGAUAUAAAUUCCCAGAAAAACGGCCUGUGUGCUCACCAGCCCCAGGAUUACUGUUAGCUGAUGAGGCACCAACUUGAUACAAGAAUUCCAAGCGAGGACAAAAAUAUGCGGUACAAGACCAUUGUGGCCUAGGAGUACAACAUUUGGUUGCUAAUGGUUGAGGACGGAAGCGGUUGGAAACAUCUGCGUCUAUGGGACUCCAUUUCCCACAAGAACAGCUGACCAGGAUAACUCCUAUCUCCGCGAGGCUGCAAACGUCAACACGUAGGUUCCAAGGUUGACACCGUGAUGCUUAUCUCCAAGCGAGGAAUCUGGCCAAGACAAUAGCCAGGGACAAGCCAGUGAGUACGUUUGAAUGUACUCGCAAACAUUAAGAACACGGGUAUAAAAUAUCAAACAUGCUCCAGAUUAUUAAGUGAUUGCACGUCCGUCACGAAAUGUACGAAAAACCAAGAUGCACACAUGUGGUUAUAAAUAAUCCAAAGUAAAGUACUGGGUGCCAAACGAGGGUCUGAAAGACUCCUCGAGCGGAAACUGCAAGAAUAGUAAUACUGGUGCCAAACGAGGGUCUGAAAGACUCCUCGAGCGGAAACUGCAAGAAUAGUAAUACUGGUGCCAAACGAGGGUCUGAAUGACUCCUCGAGAGGAAACUGCAAGAAUAAUAAUGCCGCAGUCGGGCGUCGGGGCGACACCACAUAAAGGGCUUAUAAGAGUUAAAUGAACAACAAGCAUGCCGCAGUCGGGCGUCUGAGCGACACCACAAAAAGGGCUUAUAAGAGAAUAAUCACAGUGAAUAUCCAGGAGGUAGAACUAUCCCAGGGAUACUCAAUAAUAUACGUAAAAUAAAAGGGUUAGUCCAAGAUAAUAAAGAUCAUAAUCCAUAAGUGCCACAAUCAUAAACAAUAAUUAGUUCAGUCGUUUCCCCAAUCGAAAAACCGAUAAAAUGGUCUAGUCGAAACGUAUCUCCAUCCGAAUACCGUUACUGAGCUCUAGCUAAUUCGUUCUCCAUCCGAAAACCGUCACUGAGUUCUAGUUAAACCGUUCUCCAUCCGAAUACCGUUACUAGUUUCAACUCAGACUGUGGUCUUUACUCAAGAACAUAACUAUCCAACAGGAUAUAUCCUCUGCAGAGGGAGUACCAUUUUCCACGAGUAACGGGUUUACUUAGUCCAUCGGGACUAAUUCCGUCUACGGUCUUUUAAUUGGAAACACGCCUGACCUGCACACACCAGCUUAACUCACCAGUGUCUGGAAUCACCCACGACACCUGCCAAGCAAAACUCUAAGUGGGGAGGCUACAACCUCGACGUAGCAUGGGAUCACAAAAUUUAUAACGCGCGCACACUAGGGGAGCUACCCCCCUCGGCUCCAACCGGAAACACCCAUGCCCCCAGACCAGGUGGCAUGCCUACCGGUGGCCUCCGGUAUCUUCCACCAUGGCCUCUCUGUACGGUGUGUGCUUUGGUAAGGGGUUGACAACUUACUGAACCAUACCCUGUCCCCUGCAGGGACAAGUGGUGGUACCAACAAAUAAGGAAGCUAUUGAUCAAGACUCGAUCUACAACCGACUCAGGUGGUCCAAGAAUCCUCCAACAGUAUUACCACUAGUGAAAUAAAUCACCACUCCUCGAGCCUCACUAUGCCAUACCGGGCAUACUCGUCUCGACGAGGGACUAGGGACAAGCUCGUGUCUACCCAAGACCACGACCUUCCCGGCUUCCUACCGGUAUGCAUGAGAAGUUCAUGAGGAUGAUCCAAAUCACCAAUGUAUCCAUUGCUGACCACAACACAACUCCAAAGUGCACUCAUGCACGAGACUAUAUCGCUACAUAAAGCCAACGCAUAUACCAAGUCAAAAGGUGUUGUGACCGCACCAGAACACCACAACAAAAUAUUAUGCCAGAGUUCAGAAAUGCUUGCCUUCAAGAGUAUGCAAAGGAUGCACUUAUUGGAAGCUUUCCUUUUUCUCCAAAAAUCCUAUUUUGCAAAAUACACAAAUAACAAAUAUUUCAAACACAGUACCAAAAGUUGUCUCAAAUAUUUUUGAAAUAAAUCCUAAAAUAAACUAGAUGAAAUUUGAGAGAGGUAGGAAAAAGAACCAACUCUUUUGGAGUUUUAUUUUAAAAGUUAUAGCCAGUCAAAGUUUGGUCAAAACUCUGUUUUUUAAAUAAAACCAGAAAAGAAAACGAUUCAGAAGGAAUACGCUUUCGCAGUCGAGGAGACGCACUCGGGAGUUUGCGCCUUCGCUUAAACAGAGAGAGGACGGCCGCGCGGGUCACUGACAGUGGGUCCAGAGGGCCCACUGGUUAGGUUUGACCGUUCUUCCCUCCUUCUCCUCUCUUCCGCCUGACGGGAGCGAGGCUCCGGCGAUCGCCGUCGACGAACGGCAGCACCUUACGGGCAUCCAAGGGCGGGGAUGGAACGGCUAGACCGAGGCGGUCCUUUGGGUGGUUGCUGGGUCGUCGGAGUUGGAAGGAGACGCCGGCGGCGAGCUCCGCGGCGGAGAGAGGCUACGGUGGCGAAGUGCUUUCUGUGCUCCGGUGGUCUCCGAUCGAGCUUGGGUAGCUGGGCAACUCCGCAAGAACUAUGGGAGGCUACUAGUGGCGUUGGUUGGGCGAAAGGGUGGCUGGUUGCGACGAAUCGCACCGGAGCUUAGCGGCGGCCGGACUGGCCGGAGUUGGAGAGGAUGGUCCUCUCCGGUCAAUCUACUGCUAGGGGAGCUCUACGGGGAGUGUCUGAUGUCACCUGAGUGCUCGGAGAGGCUCGGGGUCCCUUUAAAUAGGCGCUUGAGGUUGGCUCCCGCGGUGGCCGAGGAUAAGAUCGUCGGCGACCACUUUCCUGUAGUGGCAGGGCAUCGUGGCGGCGACGAAAGCGUUCCGACGAGCAUGAGGAUAAGCACGAGCUAUUCCCAGGGGCAGCUGGCGCGCUGGCGUGGUUUGGGCGGUGCCGAACAUGGCAGAGGCCACUGCCGACGCCGGCAUGCCGCCAAGGGCGAGGCCAGCGGCGCAGCAGGGCGCCAGAGAUGCCGUGGAGCAGGGAGCGGGCUAGUGCGCGGUUCAGCGAUGCAGUAGGGGCCAGGGACGGGUCGCGUCGAGUGCGGCGUGUCGGCUCAGUGCGCGCGCGUGCAAAACGUGCGCUCUGGGCGCGCCCAGAGCACGCACGGCAGGUGUUCAACGCAAUGCCAGUGUGGUCUAGAGCGCGAGGGUGGAGCUGGCAAAGAACAGAACGAGGGUAGGGGUGGCUAGGAGUUCAGUGGACAAGGUUGUUGGGUCAGAGGAACAAUAUCACAGUGCAAACAAAGAACUCAUGCCAAAACAGACUAUGCACACCAGGUGUUCGACAGAAUGCCAGAUGCACUUAGGCAACUCUUGGAGUGGCCAAAAUCUCCAGAUCAGUGUCUCUUUAGAUGCAGGAGAUGGUGGCAAGAUUAGUUUGGCAAAAACAGAAAGGUGAUAGUGCAAGAAUUUGAGAAAGCCAGUUUUGGACAGAAAGAAAGAGGGUCUAAAGCAUGCACUUAAAAACCUCUGAUGAGCCCACUCUCCUGGACUUAAGAGUUUGGUGGGGAGGGCUACAAGUAGGAAAAAGCUCAGGGUUACUAGAGCAAGGAAAAAUAAGGUUGCAGUACAAAUCACCCAGUUGGACCAGAAAGCAAAAGAGGUUGAUCCACUCAAAUUUUUCAAAGAACAUCACUGGGUUUUUGGCUUGAAGAUGAAUUUUAUGCAUCCACUGACAUCUCCAAAUACUUGGAAGGAUUUUUAAAGAAAUAUUUAAAUGGGUUGUAGUGCAAAAGUGCCUACUGGACCAGAUUGGAAAAGUUGGUGUGGAGCUCAAAAUCUCCAAUGGCCAAGAGGUAUUUUUGCAUGAAAGUGAUUUGGAACCAUCACAUGACAUCCCCAAAUUUUGGUGAAAUUUUUAAAAGCAUUUAUCAACUGGUUGUAGUGCAAACAGGCUCCAAAUGCAAAAGAACUCAUUUUAAAGGAAGAAAGCUUUGAGGAAAUAAAUCUUGCAACAUUUGAAUACACUGAUAAAUAAUUGUUUUAUAAAGGAGAGCAUUCAAGUCCAAUAAUACUUUUGAAGGUUUCUCCCACUAGAGGCAAAAAUCCAAAAUCACAAAAGGUAAAACUUGACAAAUGGAAAAGUUUUUCUUUUUUUUCCUGGCAACCUUUUAAUAAAUAAAACAAGGCCAAAAUUUUGGGUGUUACAAUCGGGUCCAAUGAAUAUCUUUUGUGACAAUACUGGUGCAAUUGCCUUGGCAAAGGAAUCCAGAUUUCACAAGAGAACCAAGCACAUCAAGAGACUCUUCAAUUCCAUCUGCGAUCAAGUCAAGGAGGGAGAGAUAGAGAUUUGCAAGAUACAUACGGAUCUGAAUGUUCCAUACCUGUUGACUAAGCCUCUCUCACGAGCAAAACAUGAUCAGCACCAAGACUCUAUGGGUGUUAGAAUCAUUACUGUGUAAUCUAGAUUAUUGACUCUAGUGCAAGUGGGAGACUGAAGGAAAUAUGCCCUAGAGGCAAUAAUAAAGUUGUUAUUUAUAUUUCCUUAUAUCAUGAUAAAUGUUUAUUAUUCAUGCUAGAAUUGUAUUAACCGGAAACUUAGUACAUGUGUGAAUACAUAGACAAACAGAGUGUCACUAGUAUGCCUCUACUAGACUAGCUCGUUGAAUCAAAGAUGGUUAAAGUUUCCUAGCCAUAGACAUGAGUUGUCAUUUGAUUAACGGGAUCACAUCAUUAGAGAAUGAUGUGAUUGACUUGACCCAUUUCGUUAGCUUAGCACUUGAUCGUUUAGUUUAUUGCUAUUGCUUUCUUCAUGACUUAUACAUGUUCCUAUGACUAUGAGAUUAUGCAACUCCCGAAUACCGGAGGAACACUUAGUGUGCUAUCAAACAUCACAACGUAACUGGGUGAUUAUAAAGAUGCUCUACAGGUGUCUCCGAUGGUGUUUGUUGGGUUGGCAUAGAUCGAGAUUAGGAUUUGUCACUCCGUGUUUCGGAGAGGUAUCUUUGGGCCCUCUCGGUAAUGCAAAUCACUAUAAGCCUUGCAAACAAUGUGACUAAUGAGUUAGUUGCGGGAUGAUGCAUUACGAAACGAGUAAAGAGACUUGCCGGUAACGAGAUUGAACUAGGUAUAGAGAUACCGAUGAUCGAAUCUCGGGCAAGUAACAUACCGAUGACAAAGGGAACAAGGUAUGUUGUUAUGCGGUUUGACCGAUAAAGAUCUUCGUAGAAUAUGUGGGAGCCAAUAUGAACAUCCAGGUUUCGCUAUUGGUUAUUGACCGGAGACGUGUCUCGGUCAUGUCUACAUAGUUCUCGAACCCGUAGGGUCCGCACGCUUAACGUUCGGUGAUGAUCGGUAUUAUGAGUUUAUGUGUUUUGAUGUACCGAAGGUAGUUCGGAGUCCCGGAUAUGAUCACGGACAUGACGAGGAGUCUCAAAAUGGUCGAGACAUGAAGAUUGAUAUAUUGGACGGCUAUAUUCGGACACCGGAAGUGUUCCGGGUGAUUUCGGAGAAAACCGGAGUGCCGGAGGGUUACCGGAACCCCCCCGGGGAACUAGUGGGCCUAGAUGGGCCUUAGUGGAGAGAGAGAGAGGGGAUGCGAGGGAAGGCCGCGCGCCCCCUCCCCCGUGAGUACGAAUUGGACUAGGAGGGGGGUGGCGCCCCCACUUUCCUUCCCCUCUCCCACUCCUUCCUUCCCCCUCCUAGUAGGACUAGGAAAGGAGGAAUCCUACUCCUACUAGGAGGAGGAUUACUCCCCUCCUUGGCGCGCCCCAGGGCCGGCCGGCCUCCCCCCUUGCUCCUUUAUAUACGGGGGCGGGGGGCACCCUAGAACACGCAACAUACAUUGCCUUAGCCGUGUGCGGUGCCCCCCUCCACCAUAAUCCACAUCGGUCAUAUCGUUGCAGUGCUUAGGCGAAGCCCUGCGCCGGUAACUUCAUCAUCACCUUCAUCACGCUGUCGUGCUGACGAAGCUCUCCCUCGACACUCAGCUCGAUCGAGAGUUCGUGGGACGUCACCGAGCCGAAUGUGUGCAGAUCGUGGAGGUGCCGUACUUUCGGUACUAGGAUCGGUCGGAUCGUGAAGAUGUACGACUACAUCAACCGCGUUGUCAUAACGCUUCCGCUUUCGGUCUACGAGGGUAUGUGGACAACACUCUUCCCUCUCAUUGCUAUGCAUCACCUAGAUGGAUCUUGCCUGUGCGUAGGAUUUUUUUUGAAAUUACUACGUUCCCCAACACAAUCCUACUCCAAGUAGGAGUUGGAUCCCCCCUUUCCUGGUCCUACUAGGAGAAGAAGGAAGGAGAGGGGAAAGAGAAGGAAGGAGGGGGCGCCGCCCCUCCCCCUAGUCCAAUUCGUACUAGGCCCAUGGAGGGGGGGGGGCGCGGCCAGCCCUUGGCUGCCCCUCUCUCUCCCCUAGGCCCAAUAAGGCCCAUUGCUUCUUAAGUGGUUCCGAUAACCCUUCCAGCACUCCGAUAUUUAUCCGGUGACCCCCGGAACUCAUCCGGUGUUCGAAUAAGAUUGUCCAAUAUAUCAAUCUUUAUUUCUCGACCAUUUCGAGACUCCUCAUCAUGUCCAUGAUCACAUCCGGGACUCCAAACUACCUUCGGUUCAUCAAAACACAUAAACUCAUAAUACCGAUCGUCAUCGAACAUUAAGCGUGCGGACCUUACGGGUUCGAGAACUAUGUAGACAUGACCGAGACACAUCUCCGGUAAAUAACCAAUAGCGGAACCUGGAUGCUCAUAUUGGCUCCUACAUAUUCUAUGAAGAUCUUUAUCGGUCAAAACGCAUAACAAUGUAUGUUGUUCCCUUUGUCAUCGGUAUGUUACUUGCCCGAGAUUCGAUCGUCGGUAUCACCAUACCUAGUUCAAUCUCGUUAUCGGGAAGUCUCUUUACUCGUUUCGUAAUGCAUCAUCCCACAACUAACUCAUUAGUCACAUUGCUUGCAAGGCUUAUAGUGAUGUGCAUUACCGAGAGGGCCCAGAGAUACCUCUCUGACAAUCGGAGUGAGAAAUCCUAAUCUCGAUCUAUGCCAACUCAACAAACACCAUCGGAGACACCUGUAGAGCAUCUUUAUAAUCACCCAGUUACGUUGUGACGUUUGAUAGCACACUAAGUGUUCUUCCGGUAUUCGGGAGUUGCAUAAUCUCAUAGUCAGAGGAACAUGUAUAAGUCAUGAAGAAAGCAAUAGCAAUAAACUAAACGAUUAUAGUGCUAAGCUAAUGGAUGGGUCUUGUCCAUCACAUCAUUCUCCUAAUGAUGUGAUCCCGUUCAUCAAAUGACAACACAUGUCUAUGGUUAGGAAACAUAACCAUCUUUGAUGAACGAGCUAGUCAAGUAGAGGCAUACUAGGGACACUUAUGUUUUGUCUAUGUAUUCACACAUGUACUAAGUUUCCGGUUAAUACAAUUCUAGCAUGAAUGAGAAACAUUUAUCAUGAUAUAAGGAAAUAUAAAUAACAACUUUAUUAUUGCCUCUAGGGCAUAUUACCUUCAGUCUCCCACUUGCACUAGAGUCAAUAAUCUAGUUCACAUCGCCGUGUGAUUUAACACCAAUAGUUCACAUCACCAUGUGAUAGUUCACAUUGCCAUGUGACUAAUACCCAAAAGGUUUACUAGAGUCAAUAAUCUAGUUCACAUCCCCAUGUAAUUAACACCCAAAGAGUACUAAGGUGUGAUCAAGUUUUGCUUGUGAGAGAAGUUUAGUCAACGGGUCUGCCACAUUCAGAUCCGUAUGUAUUUUGCAAAUUUCUAUGUCCACAAUGCUCUGCACGGAGCUACUCUAGCUAAUUGCUCCCACUUUCAAUAUGUAUCCAGAUUGAGACUUAGAGUCAUCUGGAUCAGUGUCAAAGCUUGCAUCGAUGUAACCCUUUACGACGAACCUUUUUUGCCACUUCCAUAACCGAGAAACAUAUGCUUAUUCCACUAAGGAUAAUUUUGACCGUUGUCCAGUGAUCCACUCCUGGAUCACUAUUGUACCCUCUUGUCAAACUCAUGGUGAGGUACACAAUAGGUCUGGUACACAACAUAACAUACUUUAUAGAACCUAUGACUGAGGCAUAGGGAAUGACUUUUCAUUCUCUUUCUAUUUUCUGCCAUGGUCAGGUUUUGAGUCUUUACUCAAUUUCACACCUUGCAACACAGGCAAGAACUCCUUCUUUGACUGUUCCAUUUUGAACUACUUCAAAAUCUUGUCAAGUUAUGUACUCAUUGAAAAAAACUUAUCAAGCGUUUUGAUCUAUCUCUAUAGAUCUUGAUGCUCAAUAUGUAAGCAGCUUCACCGAGGUCUUUCUUUGAAAAACUCCUUUCAAACACUCCUUUAUGCUUUCAAGAAAAAUUCUACAUCAUUUCCGAUCAACAAUAUGUCAUUCACAUAUACUUAUUAGAAAGGCUGUAGUGCUCCCACUCACUUUCUUGUAAAUACAGGCUUCACCGCAAGUCUGUAUAAAACCAUAUGCUUUGAUCACCUUAUCAAAGCGUAUAUUCCAACUCCGAGAUGCUUGCACCAGUCCAUAGAUGGAUCGCUGGAGCUUGCACACUCUGUUAGCACCUUUAGGAUUGACAAAACCUUCUUGUUGCAUCAUAUACAACUCUUCUUUAAGAAAUCCAUUAAGGAAUGUAGUUUCUGACAUCCAUUUGCCAGAUUUCAUGAAAUGUGGAAAUUGCUAACAUGAUUUGGACAGACUUUAAGCAUCGAUACGAGUAAGAAAAUCUCAUCGUAGUCAACAUCUUGAACUUGUGGAAAACCCUUUUCGACAAGUCGAGCUUUGUAGAUAGUAACACUACUAUCAGCAUCCGUCUUCCUCUUGAAGAUCCAUUUUAUUCUCUAUGGCUUGCUGAUCAUCGGGCAAGUCAACCAAAGUCCAUACUUUGUUCUCAUACAUGGAUCCUAUCUCAUAUUUCAUGGCCUCAAGACACUUUGCGGAAUCUAGGCUCAUCAUCGCUUCCUCAUAGUUCGUAGGUUCAUCAUGGUCAAGUAACAUGACCUCCAGAACAGGAUUGUCGUACCACUCUGGUGCGGACCUUACUCUGGUUGACCUACGAGGUUCGGUAGUAACUUGAUCUGAAGUUUCAUGAUAAUCAUCAUUAGUUUCCUCACUAAUUGGUGUAGGCAUCACCGGAACUGAUUUAUGUGAUGAACUACUUUCCAACUCGAGAGAAGGUACAAUUACCUCAUCAACUUCUACUUUCCUCCCACUCACUUCUUUCGAGAGAAACUCCUUCUCUAAAAAGGAUCCAUUCUUAGCAACGAAUAUCUUGCUUUCGGAUCUGUGAUAGAAGGUGUACCCAACAGUCUCUUCUGGGUAUCCUAUGAAGACAUAUUUCUCCGAUUUAGGUUCGAGCUUAUCAGGUUGAAGCUUUUUCACAUAAGCAUCGCAGCCCCAAACUUUAAGAAACGACAACUUGGGUUUCUUACCAAACCACAGUUCAUAAGGUGUCGUCUCAAUGGAUUUAGAUGGUGCCCUAUUUAACGUGAAUGCAGUCGUCUCUAAUGCAUAACCCCAAAAUGAUAGCGGUAAAUCAGUAAGAGACAUCAUAGAUCGCACCAUAUCUAAUAAAGUACGGUUACGACGUUCGGACACACCAUUACGCUGUGGUGUUCCAGGUGGCGUGAGUUGCGAAACUAUUCCACAUUGUUUCAAAUGAAGGCCAAACUCGUAACUCAAAUAUUCGUCUCCACGAUCAUAUCGUAGAAACUUUAUUUUCUUGUUACGAUGAUUCUCCACUUCACUCUGAAUAUUUUUGAACUUUUCAAAAUGUUUCAGACUUGUGUUUCAUUAAGUAGAUAUACCCAUAUCUGCUCAAAUCAUCUGUGAAGGUCAGAAAAUAAUGAUAACCGCCGCGAGCCUCAACACUCAUCGGACUGCAUACAUCGGUAUGUGUUAUUUCCAAUAAGUCUGUAACUCGCUCCAUCGUUCUGAAGAACGGAGUUUUAGUCAUCUUGCCCAUGAGGCAUGGUUCGCAAGCAUCAAAUGAUUCCAAAAAUCUAUCUGCAUGGAGUAUCUUCAUGCGCUUUACACCAAUAUGACCUAAACAGCAGUGCCACAAAUAUGUUGCACUAUCAUUAUCAAUUUUGCAUCUUUUGGCAUCAAUAUUAUGAAUAUGUGCAUCAUUACGAUAGAGAUUCAGUAAACCAUUUACAUUGGAUGUAUGACCAUAGAAGGUUUUAUUCAUGUAAACAACUUAAAUGAAUAACCGUAUCGCAAUAAAAAUGAUCAAAUCAUAUUCAUGCUCAACGCAAACACCAAAUAACAUUUAUUAAGGUCUAACACCAAUCCCGAAGGUAUAGGGAGUGUGCGAUGGUGAUCUUAUCAACCUUGGAAUUACUUCCAACACACAUCGUCACCUCGCCCUUAACUAGUCUCUGUUUAUUUUGCAACUCCCGUUUCGAGUUACUACUCUUAGCAAUUGAACCAGUAUCAAAUACCGAGGGGUUUCUAUAAACACUAGUAAAGUACACAUCAAUAACAUGUAUAUCAAAUAUACCUUUGUUCACUUUGCCAUCCUUCUUAUCCGCCAAGUAUCUAGGGCGGUUCCACUUCCAGUGACCAUUUCCUUUGCAGUAGAAGCACUGAGUUUCAGGAUUGGGUAUAGCUUUGGCGUUUUUCAUAGGAGUGGCAACUUGCUUGCCAUUCUUCUUGAAGUUCCCUUUCUUUCCCUUUUACUUGAAACUAGUGGUCUUGUCAACCAUCAACAUUUGAUGCUUUUCUUGAUUUCUACCUUCAUCGAUUUCAACAUUACGAAGAGCUCGGGAAUCGUUUUCGUCAUCCCUUGCAUAUUAUAGUUCAUCACGAAGUUCUAGUAACUUGGUGAUAGUGACUAGAGAACUCUGUCAAUCACUGUUUUAUCUGGAAGAUUAACUCCCACUUGAUUCAAGCGAUUGUAGUACUCAGACAAUCUCAGCACAUGCUCACUGGUUGAGCUAUUCCCCUCCAUCUUGUAGGCAAAGUACUUGUCAGAGGUUUCAUACCUCUCGACUCGGGCAUGAGUCUGAAAUACCAAUUUCAGCUCUUGGAACAUCUUAUAUGCUCCGUGGCGUUCAAAACGUUUUUGAAGUCCCGGUUCUAAGCCGUAAAGCAUGGUGCAUUAAACUAUCAAGUAGUUAUCAUACCGAGCUUGUUAAACGUUCAUAACGUCUGCAUUUGUUCCUGCAAUAGGUCCGUCACCUAGCGGUGCAUCAAGGACAUAAUUCUUCUGUGCAGCAAUGAAGAUAAUCCUCAUAUCACAGACCUAGUCCGCAUCAUUGCUACUAUCAUCUUUCAACAUAGUUUUUCUCUAGGAACAUAUAAAAAAUAAAAGGAACAGUAGCACGGGCCAUUGAUCUACAACAACAUAGACAUGCAAAAUACUAUCAGGUACUAAGUUCAUGAUAAAUUAAAGUUCAAUUAAUCAAAUUACUUAAGAACUCCCACUUAUAUAGAUAUCCCUCUAAUCAUCUAAGUGAUCACGUGAUCCAAAUCAACUAAACCAUGUCCGAUCAUCACGUGAGAUGGAGUAGUUUUCAAUGUUGAACAUCACAAUGUUGAUCAUAUCUACUAUAUGAUUCAUGCUCGACCUUUCGGUCUCAGUGUUCCGAGGCCAUAUCUGCAUAUGCUAGGCUCGUCAAGUUUAACCCGAGUAUUAUGCGUGUGCAAAACUGGCUUGCACCCGUUGUAUGUGAACGUAGAGCUUAUCACACCCGAUCAUCACGUGGUGUCUCGGCACGACGAACUUUUGCAACGGUGCAUACUCAGGGAGAACACUUGCACCUUGAAAUUUAGUGAGAGAUCAUCUUAUAAUGCUACCGUCGAACUAAGCAAAAUAAGAUGCAUAAAGGAUAAACAUCACAUGCAAUCAAUAUAAGUGAUAUGAUAUGGACAUCAUCAUCUUGUGCCUUUGAUCUCCAUCUCCAAAGCACCGUCAUGAUCACCAUCGUCACCGGCUUGACACCUUGAUCUCCAUCGAAGCAUCGUUGUCGUCUCACCAACUAUUGCUAUCACGACUAUCGCUACCGCUUAGUGAUAAAGUAAAGCAAUUACAUGGCGAUUGCAUUGCAUACAAUAAAGCGACAACCAUAUGGCUCCUGCCAGUUGUCGAUAACUCUGUUACAAAACAUGAUCAUCUCAUACAACAAUUUAUAUCAUCAUGUCUUGACCAUAUCACAUCACAACAUGCCCUGCAAAAACAAGUUAGACGUCCUCUACUUUGUUGUUGCAAGUUUUACGUGGCUGCUACGGGCUGAGCAAGAACCGUUCUUACCUACGCAUCAAAACCACAACGAUUUUUCGUCAAGUGUGCUGUUUUAACCUUCAACAAGGACCGGUCGUAGUCACACUCGAUUCAACUAAAGUAGAGAAACAGACACCCACUAGCCACUUGUGUGCGAAGCACGUCGGUAGAACCAGUCUCGCGUAAGCGUACGCGUGAUGUCGGUCUGAGCCGCUUCAUCCAACAAUACCGCUGAAUCAAAGUAUGACAUGUUGGUAAGCAGUAUGACUAUUAUCGCCCACAACUCUUUGUGUUCUACUCAUGCAUAUAACAUCUACGCAUAGACCUGGCUCGGAUGCCACUGUUGGGGAACGCAGUAUUUCAAAAAUUUUACCUACAAUCACGCAAGAUCUAUCUCUGUGAUGCAUAGCAACGGCGGGAGAGUGUGUCCACGUACCCUCGUAGAUCGAAAGCGGGAGCGUUAAGCAACGCGGUUGAUGUAGUCGAACGUCUUCGCGAUCCAACCGAUGAAGUACCGAACGCACGACACCUCCGCGAUCUGCACACGUUCAGCUCGGUGACGUCCCUCGAACUCUUGAUCCAGCUGAGUGCCGAGGGAGAGGUUCGUCAGCACGACGGUGUGAUGACGACGAUGAUGAAUUUACCGAUGCAGGGCUUCGCCUAAGCACUACAACGAUAUGACCGAGGUGGAAAUAUGUGGAGGGGGGCACCGCACACGGGUAAACAAUCAACUUGUGUGUCUAUGGGGUGCCCCCCUCCCUCGUAUAUAAAUGAGCAAGGGGGAGGCCGGCCGGCCCUCAUAGGGCGCGCCCAAGGGGGACAAUCCUACUCCAAGUAGGAGUUCGAUCCCCCUUUCCUAGUCCUACUAGGAGAAGAAGGAAGGAGAGGGGAAAGAGAAGGACCUACUCAUAAUACCGAUCGUCACCAAACGUUAAGCGUGCGGACCCUACGGGUUCGAGAACUAUGUAGACAUGACCGAGACACAUCUCCGGUCAGUAACCAAUAGCGGAACUUGGAUGCUCAUAUUGGCUCCUACAUAUUCUAUGAAGAUCUUUAUCGGUCAAACCGCAUAACAACAUACGUUGUUCCCUUUGUCAUCGGUAUGUUACUUGCCCGAGAUUCGAUGGUCGGUAUCACCAUACCUAGUUCAAUCUCGUUACCGACAAGUCUCUUUACUCAUUCCGUAAUGCAUCAUCCCACAACUAUCUCAUUGUCACAUUGCUUGCAAGACUUAUAGUGAUGUGCAUUACCGAGAGGGCCCAGAGAUACCUCUCCAACAAUCGGAGUGACAAAUCCUAAUCUCGAUCUAUGCCAACUCAACAAACACCAUCGGAGACACCUGUAGUGCAUCUUUAUAAUCACCCAGUUACGUUGUGACGUUUGAUAGCACACUAAGUGUUCCUCCGGUAUCCGGGAGUUGCAUAAUCUCAUAGUCAGAGGAACAUGUAUAAGUCAUGAAGAAAUCAAUAGCAAUAAACUAAACGAUCAUAGUGCUAAGCUAACAGAUGGGUCUUGUCCAUCACAUCAUUCUCCUAAUGAUUUGAUCCCGUUCAUCAAAUGACAACACAUGUCUAUGGUUAGGAAACACAACCAUCUUUGAUGAACGAGCUAGUCAAGUAGAGGCAUAUUAGGGACACUUAUGUUUUGUCUAUGUAUUCACACAUGUACUAAGUUUCCGGUUAAUACAAUUCCAGCAUGAAUAAUGAACAUUUAUCAUGAUAUAAGGAAAUAUAAAUAACAACUUUAUUAUUGCCUCUAGGGCAUAUUUCCUUCAGAUGCAUGGUGGCAUCGCGUUCAAGAAGAGCGCAGGCUGAGAGGAGAACCUACUGUGAGAACUUGACGGCAAAUGAAAGGUCUCUUGAAAGGGAGAUUUUUGCCCGCUGAUUAUGACCAGAUCCUAUUUAUCCAAUUUCAAAAUUGUGCUCAAGGAAAUAGGACUGUUUCAGAUUACACGAAGGAGUUUCUAAGGUUACAAGUGAGGUGCAACCUUGCUAAAACUGAAGAUCAACAAGUUGCAAGGUACAUCAAUGGUCUCAAUGAUGCUAUUCAAGAUCGAUUGAUGUUGCAAAAAAUUUGGUCCGUUGAUCAAGCACAAGCUCUAGCCUUAAAGGCCGAGAGGUUUGUGAGGACAAGAAAGGCAACUAAAGCUCCAUAUCCUCAUACUGAAGGCUCGUCUAGGAGUCAGCCUUAGAGUGGAAGAAAAGACGGCUCCACCAAAGGCAAAACGACCCAUCCAGAAGCAAACUAGAGGCAAGGGCAAGUCCAAUGAAGGCCCAAAAUGCUAUAAAUGUGGUGAAAAGGGACACAUAUCCAGCGGCUGCCCACUAAGAAAAUUUGUUAACACAACUAUCCAUGAUGGUGAAAGCAAUGACGAAGAAUACGAACUAAAGAUGUAGAGGGACAAGAGGUUUGUAAAGAAGAAGGUGAAGAGGUGGUAUGUGUGAUUCAGCGUCUCCUAUGUUCCACACCACAACCUGAUGACACACAACGGAAGACAAUAUUUGAGAGCAAGUGCACAGUGAAUGGAAGGUAUGCAAGUUAGUGAUUGAUAGUUGCAGCUGCAAGAAUCUUAUCUCCCAGAAGUUGGUGAGCCAUUUAAAGCUUGAUACACAUGAUCAUCCAAACCACUACACUAUUGGGUGGGUCAAGAAAGGAGUGAAUAUGAGGAUCACCAAACAAUGCAACCUGCCACUUUCCUUGGGCAAGCAUUAUCGCUCAAAUGUGUUGUGUGAUGUAGUUGAUAUGGACGCUAGCCAUGUUCUUCAUGGGAGACCUUGGCAAUUUGAUGUGGAUACUACACACAAGGGCAAGGAAAACUCUUACUCUUUCAUUUGGAACAAGAGAAAGAUCAUUAUCUUACCAAACAAAACCGAUGGUAAUACCUCUAAGGAGGAGGGGGAAACUAUGUUAACUAUCUCCCAUACCUUUCAUGAGUUUAUGGAAGACUUGAAGAAGACAGAUUUGUGUGUUGCACUUGUUGUAAAAGGAGAAGAGCACCUGACUGUUGAAAUUCCAGCAAAGGUACGUGGUUUAUUGGCAGAAUUUCAGAACAUACUUGGAGAGCCACAAGGCUUGCCACCGAUGAGAGGAAUUCAACAUAGAAUUGACUUAAUUCUGGGAGCAAGUCUUCCUAAUCUUCCACACUAUCAAAUGAGCCCAAAGGAGUAUGAUAUAUUGAAGGAGAAAGUGGAGGAAUUGUUGCAAAAGGGGCACAUUCGAGAAAGUAUUAGCCCAUGUGUUGUACCAGCCCUACUCGCGCCAAAGAAAGUUGGAUGUUGGCGCAAGUGUAAGGACAGUAGAGCCAUUAACAAGAUCACCGUAAGGUAUAGAUUCCCGAUUCCCCGUCUGGAUGAUAUGUUGGAUCGGCUUAGUGAAGCAAGAGUGUUCACAAAGCUAGAUUUAAGAAGCGGAUAUCAUGAAAUUCGUAUCAGACCCGGGGAUGAAUGGAAAACCGCCUUCAAGACAAAGGAAGGGUUGUUUGAAUGGCUAGUCAUGCCAUUUGGACUCUCAAAUGCACCAUGUACCUUUAUGUGCUUAAUGAAUCAAGUCCUUCGACCCUUCUUGUCCCACUUUGUUGUGGUCUAUUUUGAUGACAUCUUGAUCUAUAGCAAGGAUGAGGAUGAACACUUUGAUCACAUUCGGAAGGUGCUAUAAGUACUAAGGGAAAAUGAGCUCUACGUCAACUUGAAGAAAUGUGUUUUCCUGCAAACACAACUUCUUUUCCUGGAUUCGUCAUAACAUGUGACGGUAUUCGUGUUGAUGAUUCUAAGGUCGAAGCAAUCCGAGAAUGGCCAACUCCGAACACCAUUUCUGCGAUAAGAAGUUUUCAUGGCCUUGCAACUUUCUAUAGGCGAUUUGUGAAGAAUUUCAGCACUAUCAUGGCACCAAUUACCGAGUGUUUGAAGAAAGAAAAGUUCCAAUGGACAGAAGCAACUAAAGUUAGUUUCAAUGAGAUUACACAAAAACUAUCACAAGCUCCUGUCUUGGUGCUACCUGAUUUCAACAUGACUUUUGAGUUGGAGUGUGACGCUACUAGAGUAGGCAUUGGAGAUGUCCUAUCUCAAGAAAGGAAGCCCAUUGCUUUCUUUAGUGAGAAGUUAAGUGAAGCUAGACAGAAAUGGAGUACCUAUCAGCAAGAAUUAUAUGCCGUUUUUAGAGUUUGAAAACUUGGGAAGUCUAUUUGCUGCCUAAAGAAUUCAUUGUUUAUAGCGACCAUCAAUCCUUGAAGCAUUUUAGAAAUCAAAAGCAUGUUGACCGCAUGCUAGCAAGAUGGGCAACAUAUCUGGAGAGGUUUAACUAUCUCAUCAUGCAUAAAUCUGGAAUAACUAACAGAGUGGCCGAUGCUUUGAGUCGUCGUGCAUGCCUCUUGACUUCUUUUGAAACUGAACUUCCGGGCAUGGAUCAAAUAAAGGAGUUGUAUGAGGGUGACGAAGACUUUGGCCAUGUUUGGGUAAAGCACGCAAGGGGCCAACCAUUAGGUGAUGACUAUUUGAUGCAAGAUGGAUAUCUCUUAAAAAAUGAUCGUUUGUGCAUUCCAAGAAGUUCUCUACGUGACAAACUGGUUAGAGAGCUCCAUUCAAGUGAUCUUAGUGGCCAUGUUGGACGGGACAAGACUAUCGCUAGCCUAGAAGCUUGCUACUUUUGGCCACAACUAAAGAGAGAUCCUGAAAAGUUUGUUCAGCGAUGCCCUAUAUGUCAAACCUGGAAAGGCCAAGUCCAGAACACAGGGUUAUACAUGCCUUUGCUUGUUCCUGUCGCUCCAUGGGAGGACAUCUCUAUGGACUUCGUCUUGGGCUUGCCAAGAACAAGACGAGGGAGUGAUGCUGUGUUUGUGGUCGUGGAGAUUCUCUAAGAUGGCUCAUUUCAUCCCAUGCCGCAAGACAACGGAUGCUCAUCAUGUGGCAAGCCUAUUCUUUCGAGAAGUGGUCAGACUUCAUGGAGUUCCAAGGUCCAUCGUCUCAGACCGUGAUAGCAAGUUUCUUGCUGCAUUUUGGCUCACUUUGUGGGAGCAAUUCAACACUGAAUUGAAAUUUUCUAGCACUGCUCAUCCACAAACAGAUGGACAAACGGAGGUGGUGAAAAGUUUUUGGGUAAUCUAAUCCGUUGCAUUUGUGGAGAAAGAAAGGGGCAAUGGGAUUUGGCUUUAUCUCUUGCAGAUUUCUCCUACAAUAACUCCAAGCAUAGAUCCACAUGAAGGAGCCCUUUUUCCAUUGACUACACUAAAGUUCCAACACAUGUGGUGGACCUGGUGAAGCUACCAUCAAGGGGAAACUCAAAAUCAGCAUUGUCCUUUGCUGAUAAUUAGACCGAGUUAUUUGAAGAGAUUCGCGGUGCUUUGGAAGAACAAAAUCAGAAAUAUAAACAAUUUGUUGAUUGCAAAAGGAGGCCAAAAUCAUUCCAAGUCGGUGAUAAGGUGAUGGUCUACCUCCGAAAAGAGAGGCUGCCUUUAGGUGUUAAAGGGAAACUUAGGCAGCGAAGGUAUGGGCCCUUCUCUAUUGUGAGGAAGAUAAAUGAUAAUGCUUAUGUGAUAGAUCUUCUAAGUGACAUGGGUAUCUCCAACACUUUCAAUGUUGCGGACUUGACUCUACCAUCCAGAAGAAGCGCUCUAUGAAGAUAACUCGAGGAAGAGUUCCAAACAACCAGGGGAGAAUGAUGAGGAACACUAGAUGAGAAGAAAGAAAACACAUGCCAGAUCUGUUUGGCUACUUCUAGAUGCUCCCACUCUAGUGUAGUAUUUCUUUUGUUUUCUUUACCCUACCCGUUGUUUCUAGAGUUCUCUAGUUAUAAGUAGUUGUGAGUAGAGAGAUGAAUCCUAAAUAAUGUUUUCUAGAGUGUUCCAGCUAUAAGUAGAAGUAUGUGAAGGCUUCCCAAAGCCCUAUAAGUAGAUGUCCUCACCUCUACUUUGUAAACCCAGACUGUGUACCCACUACCUAUAAUAGAACUUGUUGUUCUUAUCUAAGAUCUUGGAGUAGAUUUUGCCCCCUAGGAGUUCUGGAUUGAACUCUUGCUGCCCUAUCGGCCUACAUUCGCCUCUAGAGCGAUAUCUAGCACAACAUGUUGAAGCUGUUCCUUCAACACUUGUGGUGUACACAUUGUAGUAGCACGGUGGAGUUGCUCCUCUACAACCUUUGAGCCGCUUCACUCCAUGAAUCUACAUACACUCACCCUUCCUUUGUCCCACUCCUAUGUCGUUCGCGUGCCCCUCGCACAACGCCGAUGCAAUGUCGAAGAGCUCCUGCUUGUGUUCGCCCGACAGGCUCUCCUACAAGGCUUUGGAGCUUGAGGCCAUGGGGGUGCGGCGCAGAGAGGAUAUCGGGGAGUGGAAGUGGGAUAUGCAUGUUCGGCUCUGACCAUGUUUAAAUAGUGGGCAGAUGUCAGGCCAAGCAGCAAGGUGUUUAAUGCCGGCCGACAGACAGAUAGAUAAGUGGCGUCGCAUGCGGGCACCGGAGUAGGGUCCUUGCAACCACACAUGUUCAAUGGAGGGAGGUGUAUGGACGGAUGAUGUUUGAAUGCGGAGAGAAGACACGUGCACCGGGAUGCGACACGGACGACGCGCCGCUUCAAUGUCGGCUCCAGCGAAAGGUCACAUCUACUCUGGGCCGGCAUGAAUAUGACACUGGCGCUAGAGCGGCGCUAGCCGGUUUGGACGAGAAAGGGAGAAAGUGCGGAAGAGGUUUUUGGGUUGGUCUGGGGUGUCGAACGUGUUCGUGGCAGUAGUCCGAACGUCCGCAAAGGCCCCCUUAUUUGCUUCUGGUUUGCGAGGAAAGGGACAUCUGAACUGUUUCUCGGACAAAUGCAGGACUGUGUUGGUGAAACACGUCCGAAGAGGUUGGUCCGGACGGAUGCGGUGGGUUGAGGUCAUGUCCUUGGCUCCCUUUCGUGCAGGAUAGUGUGCGGUAGUACUAUGACCAGACUUUCGAAUCUCAGUUGUUAGCAUCAAGCAAGUAGUUGGGGGUGUGCAAGCAAGGAAGGACGGGCUCGCCGGAAACCCCAGUUGUCCGUGGCAAGCAAAGCUGGGAGGGGAAUGUUGGUGGCCGAUUCGAGCUGUUGUUGGUCCCAGAAGGCGUGCGCCACUGACACAAGCAACGCAGACCAGGCGCACGCGUGGAUAGGGUAGGGACGGGACGACGCGGUUUGUGCGUGAGCGUCUCUCCCUGCCGACCACACGAUCUCCAUCUCCGUCUCCGUGUACGUGCGCUGAAUCUGCGGCUGGCGCCGGGCCGACCACGGUGGUGAGAUUGAGAAGCGUCACAAUCCAACCCGGUCAACACGCACGUCCUCCCCACCGUUGCCGACGCGGCAGCCAACGGUAACUGCCCCAUCCGCCGUCCAAAUCGGCGAUUAUCCAAGCAAUACUUUACACUAAUCGAAUUUUUCCAGUCGGCGCGUGCCAUUUUCCCAUGUCCACCUCGCUUUCUUCGAGAGGAAGGAGCUGUCAUCUUUUUCUCCUGAAACCACUCGCCGUCGUUUCCUUUUUCUCUUCCUUCUCCAGCACAUCGAUACGCGCACCAGCCGAAUAAUAUUCAAAGAAAAGCUUCGAGCAGAGGCAAAUCCCCACGGAAAUACGCGGCCACUUGCGUUUUUGCAUCUUCUCCUUUCAUAUUCACUUUCUUCCAUUCUUUAGAAAAGGCUUGGGAUUAUUUAUUAUUCAUUUCAAACGCAUGCUUUGGUUACUAAAGUAUAGUAUACCCUCUUUCUUGCUGUUUACUAAUUUCCACAUUUUUGAGCAACGGUGCAAAAGCAAAGGAAAAGGUAGUGUACCAACCCGAAAAAAAUAUUACUACCAUGAAAGAUUUCUAAAAUUAAUGAAAGAUAGUGAACUCGUGGGAAAAUAUAUAUGAAAAUGAAUGACCUAAAUAUAUGAAAAAGACAGUGACACAUGGCAGCCGCAGCAAAGCGAGAAAUAAAAAUGCAUUUAAAGCAAGGGAAUAAGAAUACUGUAAUGGCCAGGUAAUGGCACCCACCACGCGACCUUUGUCCGUUCCUCUCCUCUCCGGUACUCUGCUCUGGAGGUACCAGUACUAGUAUUUGAACGGAACGGAAGCCCCAGUUGCCAACUCAGAUUCAAACCCGCAAUCCACUCCACACUCCAUCCCGCGAUGCCGCUCCUCCUCCUCCUCAUGCUGCUCGCCGCCGGCGCGGCGGGGGCAGAGUCGGCGACCCCCUCGCUCCACAUCGGCGUCAACUACGGCGCCAACGCCGACAACCUCCCCUCCCCGACCUCCGUCGCCGCCUUCCUCGCCACCAAGACCACCAUCGACCGCGUCAAGCUCUUCGACGCCAACCCGACCUUCAUCUCCGCCUUCGCCGGCACGCCCGUCUCCCUCGCCGUCUCCCUCCCCAACUCCGCCCUCCCCGCCCUCGCCGACAAGGCCACCGGCCUCGACGCCGCGCGGUCCUGGAUCCGCGCCAACCUCUCCCCCUACGUCCCCGCCACCAACGUCACCCUCCUCCUCGCCGGCAACGAGAUCCUCCUCUCCACCGACACCACCCUCAUCCUCUCCCUCCUCCCCGCCAUGCGCCGCCUCGCGCAGGCCCUCAAGGCCGAGGGCCUCACCGGCGUCCGCGUCACCACCCCGCACUACCUCGGCAUCCUCGCCCCUUCCGACGGCAUCCCCUCCAACGCCUCCUUCCGGGCGGGUUACAACACCAAGCUAUUCCCGGCCAUGCUGCAGUUCCACCNNNNNNNNNNNNNNNNNNNNNNNNNNNNNNNNNNNNNNNNNNNNNNNNNNNNNNNNNNNNNNNNNNNNNNNNNNNNNNNNNNNNNNNNNNNNNNNNNNNNNNNNNNNNNNNNNNNNNNNNNNNNNNNNNNNNNNNNNNNNNNNNNNNNNNNNNNNNNNNNNNNNNNNNNNNNNNNNNNNNNNNNNNNNNNNNNNNNNNNNNNNNNNNNNNNNNNNNNNNNNNNNNNNNNNNNNNNNNNNNNNNNNNNNNNNNNNNNNNNNNNNNNNNNNNNNNNNNNNNNNNNNNNNNNNNNNNNNNNNNNNNNNNNNNNNNNNNNNNNNNNNNNNNNNNNNNNNNNNNNNNNNNNNNNNNNNNUCCCUCCCCAACUCCGCCCUCCCCGCCCUCGCCGACAAGGCCACCGGCCUCGACGCCGCGCGGUCCUGGAUCCGCGCCAACCUCUCCCCCUACGUCCCCGCCACCAACGUCACCCUCCUCCUCGCCGGCAACGAGAUCCUCCUCUCCACCGACACCAACCUCAUCCUCUCCCUCCUCCCCGCCAUGCGCCGCCUCGCGCAGGCCCUCAAGGCCGAGGGCCUCACCGGCGUCCGCGUCACCACCCCGCACUACCUCGGCAUCCUCGCCCCUUCCGACGGCAUCCCCUCCAACGCCUCCUUCCGGGCGGGUUACAACACCAAGCUAUUCCCGGCCAUGCUGCAGUUCCACCGCG